UUUGAAAGCAAAAUGUAUUUAUAUUAGUCUUUCAAACUCUGUUUUGUUAUUUCUUUUCCAGGGACUCCAAUAAAGUAAGUGACAACAAAGGAAGACAAAUAACACUCUAAGGCUGAUUAUUUUCUCCUGUGAUGUGGUCAAGGCUUUUGGCCACAAGUAGACACUGUGUUCUACUGGAGAAGUUAGCAAAAGUGCUGGCAGGUGAGGUUCAUUCACUUUAAGGAAGGAUGGAAAAAAGUUUGAGCUCCUUGCUCAUGAUACGGAAUUUCAUUCUUGAAUGACUGGUUUGGAGAUUUUGCUGUGGGCUUUUUUGGAUGAUGUGUGCACAGUUUGUUCUUCCUUUAGAGACUAACCCCAGCAUGUUUCUGAAAAUGCCUUGUGCCAUCACAGAGUAGAAAAAGAAUGGAAAUUAGAGCUAGAUCCAUGAACAAUCCAUCUUACAGACUUGGAGAUUUUGAUUAUUUGAGAUGAGCAAAGAGUGCUGUUAUUAAACAGAUUGGACAGCCCUAUUCAUAAAGUCCUUUUGUUUAGGCUUUCAUGGGAGGCAUGCUGCAGGCAGGUACUUAGGUUUUCUCAGUCAAGAUAUGGGCACUAUAGAAUAUUUUCUAGGGUUUGGAAAACUGAAAUAAUUCUGUGCUCUAUAAAUCUGGGUCCCUCAAUAGGAAUAAUGAUAACAAUGACAGUGAUGAUGGUGAAAUAGCAUUUACUGACUGCAUUUUUGAGCCAAGUAUCAUUUUCAGGGUAUCGUAUGUAAUAUCUCAUUUAACAGUCAUGAAAACCCAAAGACAGGGUAUUAACUUCAUUGGACAGGUGAGGAAAUUGAGCAGGAAAUCAUGAUGCAAUACAUGGCACAGGUAAGGUAGAAGUGCUGACAGAGGGUACACACCAAAAAUGGUGUAUCAUGCAGGUACUUCAUAGCUGAAACCUCAAGGGUGUUUUGGUGUGGAAUGAGUAUUUCAGAUACAUCAACAAAUGAAACUGUGGCUAUAAAUGACCUCGAACAGCCUGCACAAAGACAUGGCACUAAUAAAGACGGUGGCCUCUUUGCUGGCUGCCCAUCACUCUAAUGAUAAUAACAAAAAUGUUAAAGCAAGAUUUACUGUUACUAGGCCGUCUGCAAUUUUCCCUUCCCCCUCUCUCUUAGAAUCCCUUUAUUUUCACUUUCUCUUUGACAACCAUCUACUAAUGUCUCUCCCUUAUGAGCACAUUUGCAAGUACACAAUUCAAAUUUUCUGAGUUAUUCUUUGACAUGAGUCCUAGAGAGGUUAAGUGUCUUGCACAAGGUCAAAUAUGCCUAAUAAGUGCAGGAACAUGUAUUUGAACCCGGGCUUUCUUAUUUGUAUGAACCUCCUCUGGAAAAGAUACGAAGUUUAUGUGCUUACAAUUAGAAUAUAAAAGGAGUUCCAGUGAAAAAAAUGGUGGCAAGCACUGGCUCCAAAACAGCAAUAUUCAUUCAUUCAUUCAUUCUCUCUCUCUCUCUCUCUCUCACACACACACACACACACACACACACACACAGACACUUUCCUCACACAUAAUAAAUUAGGCUUCACGUGACCUUCCUUUUGUGAUUCCUUUUCCACUUCAGGGGUUCCUUUGAUAUUCAUUUCAGCAAGAUUCUGCACAGGCAAACAGUGUCAUGUUAAAGGGGUUGUCCUUACAGCAGCAGACGAUUGCAGUGAUUCCUAUAGUGUGGGAGGGGUGGCCCCAAGGAGAGGAGAAAGAGGAACUAUGGCUGGAGCUGAAGCACUAGGUCACGUCCAACAGAGAAGCACCACCAGGUGCCUCUGCAGUCAGAGAAGCACUGCUCUUUAGGUCUACUCUUCCCUGAAGUUUCACCACAUCUUCCUCCCUAGUCAUCUCCAAAGGCCUUUAUCUCCACCAUGAAGGCCCUCUGGCCUCUAGAAGUCUUAUCGUGACUGAACUGGAUGCACACUAUACCCUACCCCCCUCUAGCUUCAGAGCUCCAACUGCAACACCAGUGUCUCAUACCACAGCCACAUUCUCUUCUGGGCCUGACAUAUGGCAUGUGCUUGAUAAAUAUUUAUAGAUAAUAGAAAUCUGAGGCCUAUGCCCAGUGGUCUUCUAGCUAAUUUAGUAACUCUUCCCAUAUUUCCUUAAACAUAAACAAAGACAAGUCAGCAGGAACCAACCAGAAGUAUGUGACCAAAUCUGUUUGAUGGCAGAAGUUGAUCUUUCCAAAUGGAAAAUAGUCUUGAAUUUCUGCUAGUUAUCUUUUCCAUUCUCCAUAUGUGCCAAUUAUUUUUUCCAUUUACAUACAUAUUCUUGGUGACCUCUAAGUGAAUGUCAGAAAACAUUCCACAGAAGAAAGAAUUGCCAAGAUAUGUUCAGGUGCUGUAGGAGUAAGAAGGAGCAUUGUAUAAAGGCAGAGAAAUUAGCACAGGACCUGCCUUGAUCUUUAUUCACAAGACUCACAAUAUAGAGAUUAAAAAUCCUACCCAGGCAAUGGUUAAUGUCUGGGCCAAGUUAGAAUAACAUUUUUACACCGAUCCUAGACCUUUGCAAUUAAACAUGCUUUAGAAAAAUCUAGCCCAACUCCUUGUAUCAUUCAUCCCCAAGACUAUCCUUCAAAGUAACAUCCCCUUUAAAUGUAAUUUGAUAAUGAUCUAACUACAGAUCUUCUAAAAAGUGUAAUGCAGACUUUCUGUUAUUUAAAACUAAGAGUGAAUAAGCCAAUCAAAUGAAAUAAUAGCAGAGCUAGAAAUAGAAUUCACAACUCUAGAUGGCUGUCCUUGCACUCCAUUAACAUAUCUCAGCCUCCUGAAUAUAGAGCCCUGAUGUCUGAUCAGCCCAUGUUGUGGGACCUCUGUCUGAGAAAGGGUCCUUUCAGUUCUCAAUUCUAUACACAAACUUAUUGGCCUCUUCUGAACUGAGCUGUCUCUUUGCUCUGGGAAACCUAGACCAUCCUCACCCAGUAAACCCUUGCUAGUUUAUAUGACCAUGUUCUUUAAAGUAUCAAACAUAUUUACCGUCAUCUUCCAGAUUAAUACAAAUAAUUACAAAUUUACUUGCUGGUAAACUACACCCUGAAUUACUGCAUUAAGGCCCAUUAGAGUUUUAUUGCAACCUCAAUAGAAAAAUCCCUGAGGUCUAGUCAAGGGAAAAAAAAAAUGUUUUUAAAACUCUGGUUUGUUAAAAAAAUAUGUUUAAUUAUAAAUGCUAUUGUAAAUAUUAGUUCAAUUAAAAUAAAUAUUCCUUUUCUUCAGAAAGAUAACUAACUGGAGUUUUACUAAGAAACACAAAAUCCAGCCUAGAGUGUGCUAAAUUUGCUGCAAUUUAAUUAGUCUGACCACUCACCUCUUAAUCAGAGGCUUGGGGUGUAAAACAAGAGCGUUUACUACACUCCUAGGUGUAUGAUCCCAAUCUGACUGCGUGAGAGUCAAAAUAAGCAACAAAAUCACAGAAAAUUACACAGACACACAACACACAGAGUCAGAUGUUGGGUUUCUGCUUUAGAAGAGCUGGCAACGCUGAGUUCACAGUCCCACAAAACUGCCAAUUUGUAGUAGCUGACGUAUUUUGGUAACGUCUGGGCUUUUUGAGUAUGCCACAGGCUAUACCACUCGCAGUUGUCUUCAACUCACUGGUUUGAGGAGCCUGCCUCACCUGCAGAGGCACUGAGUGUGGGCCUUUAUCACUGUUCGUACACAUGUAUAAUGCAUAUAUAUUUACAUAUAUUUAUUUACAUGCUUUUUUUUUUUGAACAUGGAACUAACCUUUGCCAGUUUUUAAAAAAAAAAAAAAUUUAAGUUUGUUUUGAGAAAGAGAAAGCAUGAGCAGGGAAGUGGAGAGAGAAGGAGAGAGAGAGAAUCCUAAGCAGGCUCUGCACUGUCAGUGCAGGGCUCGAAUCCACAAACCGGGAGAUCAUGACCUGAGCUAAAAUCAGGAGUCAGACGCUUAACUGAGCCACCCGGGUGCCCCAGACCUUUGCCAGUCUUUGACUGUCAUUCUUAGACAGUAUAACUAUGACCCUCCUUUGUACUAAAAAAUAUUCCAUUUUAUCUGCUUUGUGCUAAACCUGAAAAUCAGCAAAGUAACGUGCAAAAAAGAGUGAGAAGUGAAAGGGUCAACCGCAUUCAAAGCAGCCCACGACUGUUUAUGCUGGCAUCAUUUUGCCCUGAAGAUUUUUCCUACUCCUUGCUGGGAGCAUUCUAACAUAAAACAUUUAUUCUGGUUUUCAGAUUCAAACACAUUCUAGUCUAACCACCUGUGUAUGCAAUUGAUUUGGUUUUCACUUUGAGCUUCAUCCCUGAACCAGACCUGGCACCUGUGGAAGAAAAUACCGGGGGCUAAAAUAGAGUGAGGAAGGCCACAAAAUAGUGUAAUAUCCUCUCACUGUGGUUCAUAGGGGAUGCUGUUUCAGGGUGUGCAUUUCAUCUCACGAGACUCCAGACAACAGAAGAGCUAGACAAAAGGAAAACAUGUGAUGAAGCAGUAUUUAUAUUGCAAUCUUUCCAACAUUUCAGAAGGGAAUGGUUUACAGAUGUAUACCCUCCAAUGACAUUUACACAUCUAUUGUUUUCUUAACCCCCUUCUCCAUCCUAUUACAAGGUUCUUUUUGUGAAAAAGAUUACAAACUUCCCUGUGCUUUUCUGAGAUAAAGAACCCAUUUCCUCCUGAUUACAAGAGAAGACAUGAUGAGCUAUAUGAUAGGCCAAGUGUUAAUGUAAAAUCAGCCUCAGAAAAUGGAAUACUUUUAUGAUUACUUAAGCAUUUGUAUUUCACGCCAUAAAUUUUUCCCUGUCUGAGACAGACCACUUAACCCAGUCUUAGAACAUCAAGCUGCUAAUUUACACAGUUUUCUGACAGGAAACCAUCUACGGCAAUGAGUGCACAGUAGGAAAUUUUAAUAGGAGCCCAUCUGGACUUCUGGCUAUUGAACACAAUUUCUUCUUAAUCAUCUAUUAAAGAGAGAUACCAUAAAGAUGAGUUACCAUCUCUUGGUCAUAAAUUUCAGGAGUUUUAUAAAGAGCCACUUAUUUUUUCACCUUUUUUCAUCUAUUUUCAACAAGGUAAUUCAUCAACAUUUAACUUAGUGUUUUCCUGCCUCAUUAUGACUCUCCAAGAAUUUAAAGUGCUGUUAAGGAUCAUAGUUGUUGCCUUCAGAAAAGGGUAUCUGUCCUGGACACAUGCUUUCUAUUAAUUGAGGCCUCUGGAUUCCUUUAUGAUGAAAUCUAUCUUCUUCCAAAAAUCAGAUUUCAGAGUUUUGUGUGUGUUUAAAGAUUUUUUUUUUCAAAAUAAUCCUUUUCUGGUUAUCCAAAAUUCAUAUAAUAAAAAUGAAAUUCUGAUUAUUUAGCAAAUUGAGAAUUUUUGUUGUUGAAUUAUGUUAAGUAACUUAAAGACAUGAGCAUCUGAAGACUUCUUUCUUUCCUCUAGCCCUUUGCUCCCUUACUUCCUUCAUUCAAGUCUUGGUUCAAAUAACCUCAGUAAAGCCUUCCUUGAUAUACCCUAUCUUAUAUUAUUAUAAUUGUGCCCCACCCUCAUUUUUUCUGAGUCUUUCCCCACACUUCAUUUCAUUCUGAUACACUAUGUAUUUAAUUAUUUCUUUUCCUGUCUUUUUCUAACCGUUAGAAUGUGAGCUCCAUGAGAACAGGGGUUUUCCAUUGGUUCUCUCCCUUCUGUUCUCCAGAGCAUGAUACACAAUAGUUGUUGAAAAACAUUUGUUGAAUAAAUGCAUAUAGAGGAAAUUAUUUGGCAAAUCCAUAAAACAAAACAGUAAUAAUAGAUUAGAAUCAAGAAUUAUGCAUGACACAUAGUAAGUACUCAAAUAGAUUUUUGUUAAAUGAGUGAUAAAUUGGACACAAAAAUGAUAAAAAAGAAAGAAAAAAAACAUAGGCAAAGAACUAAAUCAGAGGGAAAGAGCUAGGAUAAUUACAUGGUCACUUUCUGAAAAGAAGUUGAGAUACUAAAGAUAGGUUAUGAACACUGGUUUUCUGUACAGAGCAAAUUUGCUAAGGAAGAAAAGAAGAAAAAUAGAAAAUCCCAUGGAAGAAAUGUUACAAUGUUAAAAUAGUGUUUAAAAGCUCCUUUAAGUGGCACCUGAGUGGCUCAGUCAGUUGAGUGUCUGACUCUUUUUUUUAAUGUUUAUUUUAUUUUUGUGACAGAGAGAGAGAGAGAACAAGCAAGAGCAUGAGUGGGGGAGGGGCAGAGAGCAAGAGAAAAGGGGACACUCAGAAUCUGAAACAGGCUCCAGGCUUCAGCUGUCAGCACAGAGCCCAACGAGGGGCUCGAACCCACCAACAGUGAGAUCAUGACCUGAGCCAAAGUAGGAUGCUUAACCGACUGAGCCACCCAGGUAACCUGAGGGUCUGACUCUUGAUCUCCACUCAGGUCUUAAUGUCAUGUUUUAUGAGGUGGAGCCCCAUGCCGGGUUUCAUGCUAACAGCACUGAGCCUGCUUGGGAUUUUCUCUCUCUCUCUCUCUGCCCCUCCCCUGCUCUCUCUCUGUCAGCAUAAACAAACAUUUUAAAAAUAAAAAAUAGGGGCACCUGGGUGGCUCAGUUGGUUGCGUGGCCAACUUUGGUUCAGGUCAUGAUCUCAUGGUUCAUGGGUUCCAGCCCUGCAUCGGGCUAUGUGCUGACAGCUCAGAGCCUGGAGCCUGCUUUGGAUUCUGGGUCUCCCUCUCUCUUUGCCCCUCCCCUGCUCACUCUCUGUGUCUCUCUCUCUCUCAAAAAUAAAUAAAAAUUAAAAUUUUUUUUAAUAAAAAAAAAUCUCCUUUAAAUAAAAUAUUUUAAAUAUGAUUUUCAAAAAUGUCUACUACCUAAAAAUGGUUAGGAUGAUACAUAAAGGACAAAGAAGGAAAUAAAAUCACCUACUGUUACAUCCUUUAAAAUCCAGCUCUGUAACUAUGUGGGUAUACUGAAUAUACUUAGAUUAUUUUUCUAUGAAGUUUACAUACAAAUUCUAAUAAACAGGAGCAAAAAAAUUAUGUACUGUGAUGGUUCAUUUUAGGUCAACCUGACUGCCCAGACAUUUGGUAAACCAUGAUUUCUGAGAGUGUCUGUGAAGGUGUUCCUGAAGAGAUUAGCUUCUGAAUCAGCAGACCACAUAAGGAAGAUCACUGUCACCAGUGAAGGGGGGCACCAGCCAGUAUAUUUGAGGGCCUAAAAAGAACAUCAUGGUGGAGGAAGGGCAAAUUCUCUUUCUGCUUGAGCCGAGACAUCCAUCUUCUACUGCCUUAAGACAGCGGGCUUUCAGGCUCAGACUGAGACUUAAAAGAUCGGUACCUAGAUUCUCAGCCCAUCAGACUCAAAUGAAUUCCACUACUGGCUUUCCUUGUUCCAGCUUGUACUCAGCAGAUAGUGGGACUUCUUGGCCUCCAUAACCACAUGACCCAAUCCUUUAAUAAAUCUCCUUUUCUAUAUCUACAUCUGUAUCACCUAUUUCUUUUUUGUUGUUGUUUGUUUGCUUUUAACUAGGCUCCAUGCCCAAGGUAGGAAUUGAACUCAUGAUCCCGAGAUGAAGACUUGCAUGCUUGGGGUACGUGGGUGGCUCCAUCAGUUGAGCAUCGGACUUCGGCUCAGGUCGUGAUCUCACAGUUAGUGGGGUUCAAGCCCCGUGUCAGGCUCUGCGCUGACAGUUCAGAGCAUGGAGCCUACUUCAGAUUCUGUGUCUCCCUCUGUCUCUGCCCUUCCUUGCUUGCACUGUCUGUCUGUCUGUCUCUCUCUCAAAUAAACAUUAAAAAUUAAAAAUUUAAAAAAAGUCACAUUCUCUACCCACUGAGCCAGCUAGGCGCCCCUAUGCCAUCUAUUUCUAUAUCAUCUCUAUCCAUACCAUCUAUUUCUAUCUAUCCUAUUGGUGCUGUUUCUCUGGAAAAUCCUAAUGUAUAUGCAUUUUUUUUCUUACAAGGACAAUAUAUUAUGAUCAUUGGAUAGUCUUCUGUGCAUCCUGUCAAUUCAAUUUCUUGGUACUUCUUUGUGCACAGAUACACCUUAAUUUUUCUAGGCAGUUUUCUCUUGUUAAAUAUUUAGAUUAGUGCAAAUGUGUGCCUUUUCUAAAUUAGGUUAUAACCAUUCUUUGGGAUAAUUCUUUGCCUGUAUCUGUGAUAGUUUUAAGAUCUUAGAAAUAAAAAAUAAAAAAUACUUUAAAAAUUUUUAUAGAGAAAAAAAAACUUUUAUAGAGAUUACUGUAUUUCCUCCAGAAGUAUCAAACCAUUUUGAACUUCCAUUCGCAAUAUUUGCCUAUGCCCAGUUUCUUGUGAUUUCUUAAUCAUGACUUAAAAACACAUAUAUUUACCACUUUGAUAAAUUAAAAAUAAAAUGGAAGUUUGGUUAUAGCAAGACAGUGGAGAGAUGGAUAUUCAGGGAGACCAAACAACACAAUUUGGGAUGAAAUUCCACAACAGUACAUUUAAUUUGCAUUUUUUCAUUUGGUUACUUUAUAUAUUAAAUAGACCAUCAAGGUUGCAGCCCCCUAGACUAAUUUGUAAUCAUAAACCAUGCCAUCUGUACUAUCAGUGCCUUGUGCAUAGAGAUUUUAUGUAAUAAACAGUCCUCUACUUUUCUACAAAUCACCUGGGCAAUUUAUAAACAUUAAUUGCAGUUCAUGCUCCCCUGUUUUUAAUAUCUCUCUGCAGAAGAACAGACCUUAUGCCAGAGCGUGAGUGUGCUAGACAGGAAGAGAGUCAAAGUGUAAUAGAUACGUUCAAAUUUAACACAAUAUCUAAGAGCAAACUGAAGCUGAAGCAGAGGGUAGAUUUAUUUUUUAGUAUGUCAUGAUGAUAAGUCUUGCUAUUUAAGGUAUUUGCCAAGCCCAGUGAGCAUAUAAACCCACAAUGCUAUUAAUGAUUACUGAUAAUAACCAAUUUAUUAUAAUGAUAUCUGAUUCACGAUUAUCAUUUAUAUGUUGGUGAGUUGCUUUUCAUCCAAGAGUAAAACUCAUCUCUCUUUCAAUUAAAUUUCUACUUCUUUUUAAUUUUAGGGUGCUCUAAGCCUAUGCUCCUCAAAGUGGACCAGCAGCAUCCAUACCAACUGGAAAUAUUGGAAGUAUAGACUUUUAGAAACCACCCUAGACCUACAGAUCAGAAUCUGCAUUUUCACCAGAUCCCCAGGUGAUUUAUGUGCACAGUGAAGCUUGAGAAGCAUGGGGCAUUAAUUCAUAUUGAUAAUGUAGUGCAAGCAUGGUCAAAUUGCCAGGCUCUCAACUGUCCAUUUCUUGCUACAUGUAGCACAUUAUGCUUAGGUGCCAAUGGAGUCCAUCUUCAGAAGGUGAAGAACAAGAAUAAUAUAGGAAUUUGCAUAAAUAUCUCAAGAGCAAGCUUGUUAGAAAAACUGCCAAACAAAAAAUUAUCUGAAAAUAAUAAUAGCCCAGGAUUAAGUAAACUUAUAAUAAGCUUAUCAUUAAAAUUUGUUUCUAAAUAAUGUGGGUGAAAAGUAGUAAUUUGAAACUAAAUCCUAAAGUUAGUUCUCAACAUCAUUGAUAGAACAAAUGAUCACUGGUCAUUUUCCACAAGCUUUCCAGAAAUUAUGAAACUCUUUCCUUGAGGUUUUCUUCCACUUAUCUGUUGCUGGGUAACAAACCACUCCAGAACACAGUGGCUUCAAACUACAAUUUCUUAUUUUCUUUCAUGAUUCUGUGUGUUGGCAAGGCUCAACUAGGAAGCUGUUAUUUGAGGUCUCCCAGGCAGCUGCAUUAGGAUGGCAAGUGUACCUCCAGUCACCUGAGGGCUCUCCUGGUUAGAUGUCAAAGAUGGUUGGCUCUUGUGGCUGGGAGCUGGUGUGGGCUAUGGUUGACAGCUACACUCUGGAGUAUACUCUGACUAGAGUACCUACACAUGGGCUGCACAUGUGGCUAGGUUCUUCUCAAAGUAUGGUGCUGCGUUUGGAGAGGGAGUGUCCCAAGAGCAAAAAUUCCAAGAAAACCAGGAGAAAACUGCAAGGCUCCUUAUGUCUGAGCCUCAGAAGCCCCAAACAUAACUUCUUCCAUGUUCUAUUGAUCUUGUAGGUCACUAAGUCCAGCCCAGAUUCAAGGGAGAGGGGAAGUCAAUAUCACCCCGUGAGAACCAUUUUUAGUCUACCACAAGUUUUUUCAAAAGUAGAGUAACUUUCUUGACAAGCCCCAUUUUCUGCCUACCAUACCACACCCAGACCCACCUAUCCAACACAGAAAAGCAUUCAGUGGAACCAGAGUUUCGGUCCUGUAUAGUCCACUUAAAAAAUUAUCAAAAACACCAUCAUCCUGUGUUGGGUGACAUAGGCCUUUGUGUAUAUGUUAAUAUUUGAGGAGAACUCAGAAGUAUCCUUUACCUAAAAGAGAUGUUUCUCUAUGUGAUGGUUAUACAAUUUCUCUCUUCCUCAAGUUCCAUUCUCUGUGCUACUCCAACCCACUCAGUGUCAGUUGAGCUACAGGUUCUACCAUCUGGACCUUCUGGCUUUGGGGUCCCAACUGGGUUUGACCAAUGGCAGCCACUUACCUACUGUUUCUUCCCUUCCUCCUCCCACCUUCCACAGUGCUUUUCUGGCAGCAGCUGCACCUACUACCCCUGCCUCUCAUGCUUCCUCCACAGUUCCACUUCCCACUUGACUGUCACCUCUUUACUCCCCUUCUCUUUAGUUCUUCUAUGUGUGAUAAUGACUUCCUACUGUUGCUAGAUUCUGAAUAACCCACCAUCCAGACAUUAGGGGAAAAAUGUUUUAUUCAAAAAUAGUUUUUUCCCUACCUCAGGGCACCUGGGUGGCCCAGUCAGUUAAGUAUCUCUUUUUUUUUUUUUUAACGUUUAUUUAUUUUUGAGACACACACAGAGCAUGAACGGGGGAGGGGCAGAGAGAGAGGGAGACACAGAAUUGGAAGUAGGCUCCAGGCUCCAAGCCAUCAGCCCAGAGCCCGACGCAGGGCUCUAACUCCAGGACCGCGAGAUCAUGACCUGAGUCGAAGUCGGAUGCUUAACCGACUGAGCCACCCAGGUGCCCCAGUAUAUGACUCUUGACUUCAGCUCAGGUCAUGAUCCCAUGGUUCCUGAGAUCAAGCCCUGUGUCAGGUUCUGCACUUGAUGUGGAACCUGUUUAGGAUUCUCUCUCUUCCUCUCUCUCUGCUCCUCCCCUGUGCAUUCUUUCUCACUCUCUCAGACUAAAAACAUUUUUAAAAAGGAAAUUCCCAGAGAAUUAAAAACUUUUUUUAAUGUUUUUUUUUCUCAAAAGAAUAUUUUCCUGUCCAGCUACUAGUGAAAUAAUAAAAAACAAAAUUAUAAUAUGCGAAUAUAAAUAUGUAUAUAAGUCUGGAACUUUUGUUGCUGGGAGAAAAAGUAUAGUUUUAAGUGAGUAAAAUCCCACCCAUCAUAAGUGGAGCCCAGAAAAAAAAGAUCACUGGAGACUUCCUUCACUUGUGUGCCUGACAGGCUCUUCAUUUUGCUAUAAAAUAUUUUCAAAGAAUUAUUUCCCUUGUAAAAACUAAGGGAGGGCUCAGAGUGGCUCUCAGAGGCCAAAACCUGCUAGGACUAUAAAAAUGGCUGCACACAACUCUUUGGUCAGAAUUAUGUUGCUUGACCAUUUGGCUUUAAGAGAAUAUUUAAUACUCUUUUCUAAUCUGGCAGUCAUGUUAUGAAAUGAAAUACUGUGGAAUGACAUUAUCAAGAUGGCAAAACAGGAGGUCCCCUGCCAGUUGCCUCCCUCAUUUUUUAAAGAGCUAUUAAUUUUUGACAAUUCACACUUAGUGAUAAUGUAAUGAGCUAUUAGUUAUAUUGUUAAGCCCCUAAUAUUUUCACCAUUAAAUAACAUAUAAAGGAUAUGCACAGUAAAUGAGCAACAUACUGAUAACUACUAUUACUAUUAUUCUUUGCUCAGAAGAUGUUUUAAGAAUCUCUUUUCAUUACUUAAUAGAAAAUGAAACCAUAAUAGUGUUUACACUGUAAUCACAAAAGAAAAUAGUAUAUGGAAAGCCGGCAUAACUAUAAUUAACACUAUUUUGUAAAAUAUAUUUUGUGGUGAAAUAACUUCAAUAUUGGGGCCAUUUUAAAAUGUAAGUUCAAAAGGGAAACCAUAGAUUUCCCACUUAUUUUUCUUUGAUGAAUUCUGUAUUCACAGAUGGUACAGAUAUUUUAGCAUUCUAAACUAAAGCAUCUCUAUUUAUGAUUUUGUCUUGGAAGUCUCUUUCGUGGUUAGACCACAUUUUGUAUACUUCCGACAAUGGACAUAUGAUCUGAGCUUAGCCAAGGCAAGGGGUAGGCCACAUGAAACAUCAUCAAGGCAGCAAGCUGUUGCUGCCAAGAAGUUGGAAAAGACAAUUUAACAGGUCAUGAAGAAAAUUAGGACCCAGAUUAACCAACAAAGCAUUCAGUGAAUAGAAAAAUAAGUAUGUGAUGCUCAUACAGAGUCAAUAUGGGCCUCAAAGGAAACUUAUUUAUAUGGAAGAGUGAGAUAGGAAUGUCAUAUUUAAUGUUUUUUUUUUGUUUUUUUUUUUUUUUUUACCACGAGGGGAAGAAAAUGGUUAGGGAAGAAUUAACCUGUUUGGAAUAAUCACAUUUCUAAAAAUAAAUUUACAGUUUCCUUAAGUGACAUGUUUUUGCAUAACAUUGCCAAAAUACUUAUUCUUCCUCCUUAUUUAAAGACAUUCCCCUUGCACCAAGGAUAAGCCUCUUGUUGAAACACAGCAUAAAGAAUGAUAUCGUUUCAUGUUUUUUAAUUUUCAAAUAUUUUGGUUGAAAAUUUACAAAUGGAUUUGGUGAAAAUUCUUGAGCCAAAAACUGGAAUUAUUCACCAUGAAAAAACAAAAUCAGCACCUUAUUAUACAGAUGUGACAUUCUUAUAAAAUUUACACUGACUUAGAAAAUAGAAACAUUAAGAAAUUAACUGAUUAUGACACAAUUUUCAAAUCAACCUUGGUUAAUCCAAAUCCUUCUGGGAAAAGCCUGAUACAAAAUUAUUAGUAGAGUCUUCCACCUUGCUGUGUUAGCAUAUCUGGAACUGAACUUGUCCUCUCAUGAGAAACAACCGGAAGACUGGACAACAUACAUAAAAGAGUCAUUCUGAACACUGAACAACUAGCAGUGCAAGACUGCAAUGUAAGAAAGAAUAUAAAACAAACGAGAUAAGCCCCACAAUCCACCAGCUCUUUUGCCAGGAGGCAGGUCACAGACUGUGGCACAGCAAGAGAGCUCAACAAGAGCUGGAAGCUCCCACUGGAUGAGAAGAUAAGAGAUCAGAUUUGGGAAGAUGGAGAAGGCUAGAUUUUGUGGGGCAGAGUACUACAGAUGAAAGAGCUCCAGGAAUCAAUAUACAGGAUCUUUUUGAGUCUGUUUCUAAAUACUAAGGCCCACGUGAAUAGGGUAAAAUUUCCUGAUGCUGGGCAAAGAAUUCUCAGGAAGAUUUAAUUUAAAUAAUUGCAAGAAUGUAGACAAGGCUAGUGGAUAUUCAAGCAAGAGUUCAGUGACCUUAACAGAUACAUGGAACAUUCAUUAGAGGCCUCAGAGUUAAAUUUAGAGUAAGGCUAACUUAGUACUAUGAUAACCAGUAGUAUGGAUAUGCCCUAACAAAUAUUAAAAACAAACAUGGAAAGAACUGAGCUGAUUUGAAAGUUACUUAACUUCCUGCCAAAACAAAGCUCAACAUUUUUUAAGAUAAACAACAAAAUCUAGACACUCAAAAACAUUAUGCUCACAAUGUCUAUUAUCUAAUCAAAAAUGACGAGACAUAUAAAGAAGCAAGAAACUGUAACACAUCACCUAUUAAUCUAUUAAUAUAAGUAGAAAUAAAGAUGAUAGUUAUAGGAGACAAGGGUUUUAAAAGAGCUAUUACAAAUAAGCUCAAAUACUUAAAGGAAAACAUGAGUAUCAGGUUGAAAGAAACAGACAAUAUAAAAACAAACCAAAUGGAACUACUAAGAUAAAAAUUACCAUCUAUGAAAAAUUUAAAACUCACAAGACGAGUUUAACAGAUUAGACACUGAAAAAGGAACUUCAAAACAUUGCCAUAGAAGCCAUCUAAAAUAAAACAGAGUAAAAAAAUUUUUUAAAAGAAUGAACAGGGUCUCAGUGACCUAUGAGACACUGUCAAGUGGUCUAAUAUACUUAGAAUUGGAGUCUAUAUUAGUUUCCUAUAAAAAAUUAAACUUAAUGGCAUAAAAAACCCACAAAUUUAUUCUUACUGCUCUAAAGGUUAGAAGUCAGAAAUGGGUCUGAUGGGUUAAAAUUAAGGUAUAGGCAGAAUUGCAUUCUUUCUGGAGACUCUAGCAUAAAGAAUCCAUUUCCUUCCCCUUUCCAGCUCCUGGAAGUGGUCUGCAUUCCUUGGCUUGUGCCCAAUCUUCCCUUUUCAAAGCAUAGGACUCUAACUUCUUCCUCCAUUAUCAUAUCACCGGCUCACUCUGACCCUCCUACCUCCCUCUCCAAGGAAUCCUUAUUAUUAUACUGGAUAUCUGUCUGGAUAAUCAGGAGUCAUUUUCUCAUCUUAAAAUAAUUAUGUCUGCAAAUGUGAGGUAACAUAUGCCAGGUUCCAGGGAUUAGGGCAUGGACAUCUUUAGGAGGGCCAUUAUUCAGCCUACCCUAGAGUCCUGUAAGAAAAAGACAGGGAGGAUAGGCAAGAAAACAAAAUUUUUUUAAAAAACAAGAAUAGCUUACCUUUCUCUAAAUUUUAUAAAAAUUAUAAACUCACAAAUCCAAGAAGCACAAUAAAGCAGAGAAGAUAAACUACAUCAAGAAACAUUAUAAUCAAAUUUCUAGAAAUCAUUGAUGAAGAGGAGAUCUUAAAAGCAGGAACAAGGUAAGACAAAUGGGUGAAGAGGGAAGGCACAUGACUUAUAUAAAAACAAAGACUAGGGGUGCCUGGGUGGCUCAGUCAGUUAAGCAUCCAACUUCAGCUCAGGUCAUGAUCUCAUGGUUUGUGGGUUCAAGCCCCAUGUCGGGUUCUGUGCUGACAGCUCAGAGCCUGGAGCCUGCUUUGGAUUCUGUGUCUCCCUCUCUCUCUGCCCCUCCCCUGCUUGUGCUCUAUCUCUCUCUCUUGAAAAUAAACAAACAUUAAAAAAAAAAAAGACUAGAGUCUCCCCAGCCCUUUUGUCAGAAACAAUACAAGCCAGUAAACAAAAGAAUCUUUGAAAUACUGGGGAAAAUUUUUACUAUGCAAAAACUUCUUAACUUCCUGAAAGUAUAAUUUUAAAAUUAAGAUAAAAUAAACUCAUUUUCAACAUAAAAAUGCUGAGAAUUUCAUGUUUGUUAUUGGGGGGGAUUACAGCAAAAGUGCAUGAUAAGAAAUAUUAAAGGAAAUUCUGCAGGUAGAUGGAAAAUUAUAUCAGAUAAAAAUUCAAAUACAUUCAAAGAAAUGGAAAGCCAAAAAUGGUAAAUGUUUUUUUUUUUCUUUUUGUUUUAAUGUCAAUAAGAGAGAAUUAGUUGUUUAAGGCAGGGGUCAGCAAACAAUGGCCCAUACGCUAAAUAUGAGCGCCUGCCUCUUUUUGAAAAUAAACUAUACUGGAACAUAGCCAUGAUAGUUUGUUUGUAUUGUCUAUGACUGCUUUCAUACCACAAUGGCAGAGUUCAGUAGUUUUGAUAGAGACAUUAUGGCCUGCACAGCCUAAAAUAUUUACUAUAUAGCCCUUUAGGAAAGAAAAAAAUUGCCCUGGUUUAAAGAAAAGUAGUAGCAAUCCAUUGUGUAGUUUAUAAUAUAUGUAGAAACAAAAUGUAUGUCAAGUAACACAAAGAACAAGAGAGAAGAAAUGGUGGUUUAUUAUUUGUAAGGUUCUAACAUUACACUUGAAGUGGUAUAAUAUUAUUUGAAGGUAAACUAUAUAUAAGAAUGCAUAUUAUAUACCCCCACAAAACCAUUACUCAAAAAUAGGGCAAAGAUGUAUAGCAAUUAAGCCAAUAGUGGCACUAAAAUGGAACAUGAAAGUUACUCAUUAAGCUAAAAAAAGGCAGGACCUAAAUUUAAUGCACCCAAUUAAGGAGUUUCAAAUGCAUGUGACAAAAAUUGAUAGAACUAAAAGGAAAAUAAAAUUAACCCAUUAAUAUUAGUGAUGUCAGGAAAAAAAAAUAGAGAAAACAGUAAGAAUAUGUAUAUGUGAACAACAUUUGCAACUAAUGUAAAUAAACUGACAUUUAAAGAACACUUCACCCAACAACAAGAAAAUACAUAGUUUUUUCAAGUGUAAAUAUGGGACACAUGAAGACAUGCUAGGUCAGAGGCAAAUCUCAAUAAAUGUGAAGUAACUGAAAGUACAGAGUACGUUUUGCUAUCCAGUAAAAGCACACUUUCAGAACAAGUUUAAUAAAAUAUGCAGCCAUUAAAAUAAGUUUGAGAUAAUGAAUACCCUGUUUGGUUUGGAGGGCUUAGGCAAAACAAAAACCCUGAGUAUUAGUCCUUAAAAUUAACCUUAAUUAACAACCUCCAUUUGUUUAAUUAAAAAAUGUUCCAAUAUUAGGGCACUUGGGUGACUCAGUUGGUGAAACAUUUGACUUCAGCUCAGGUCAUGAUUUCACGGUUUGUGGUUAGAACCCUGCGUCGGAUUCUGUGCUGACAGCUCAGAGCCUACAGCCUGCUUCAGAUUUUCUGUCUUCCUCUCUCUGCCCCUCCCCUGCCCAUGUUGUCUCUCUUUCAUAAAUUAAAUAAAAACAUUAAAAAAAUGUUACAAUACUGAGUGGAAGUACUUAAUCCAUUUUUAAAAGCCAAGAAUUAUGUAAGUUAUUUAAGUUUUCCUUUUAUUUUGAUCAACUGGUAGAGACAGAGAAAACUGCCUUUUGACAGAGCAGAAAAUACUCCGUCACCAUCUAGCAGCUUGCCUUUUACCCAGAUGUGAUGCAGCCACAUGUAUUAUUACAAAGGCAGAUGGAACUAGAGCCACCAACUGCCAUUCAAUUAUUUUACAAUGUACAGACGUUGCUGCACAUGCAGUUGGAGCUUGAGAACCAUAUUAUUCUGUCAGGAACUAUGUCACACAGAGAAAAGAAUCCCAGCAACAAAUUAUUCGCAUGUGUUUUUGCUUUCUCUCUCUCUCUCCCUUCCUCUCUGACUAGAAUAUGUAGGUGUGUGUGUGUGUAUAAAAUAUUCAUAUGUAUAUUCAUACAUAGAUAGGUAUACAGUGUGUGUAUACAUGUAUGUAUGUGUAUGUGUGUGUGUGUGUAUAUAUAUAUAUAUAUAUAUAUAUUUAUAACUUCAAGAGAAUAUAGAUAUUUAGAGGAAAUAGAAAAAAAUUAGUUGAAAGAAGUCAGUCUUAGGGAGCCUAAGGGAUUUUAGUUCAGAGAAUGCAAAGUUUAGGAAAAGAAAAUAAAACCAGGUUCAGUUUUUUUAAAAAGAAGUUAUAUAAUUAUAUGCAGUAUUAAUAUACAUUAUUAUAUAUUUUAUAUAUUACACAUAAUAAAUGUUCACUUAUCACUAUAAAUAUGUAAUCAGAAUAAAACAUUUAUGUGAAAUAUUUAGAGUAAGAUUUCUGGCCCAAGAGUGUAAAGUAGAUGCAAAGUACCGUAUUAGGGAAAGAAGGUAGGAUCCAGGCCAAAACCUGAGCAUAACAAGAUAGCAUCAGUUUAAAAAACCCAAAGAUUAGAAUACUAAUGAAGCAUUUUAUCCACCUCCUGCCUCCAACAGUGGUCACAUCCAAAUCUAAUAGAAAGAAGUUAUAUUAGGGGCACCUGGGUGACUUAGUCGGUUAAGUGUACGAUUUUGGCUCAGGUCAUGAUCUCAUGGCUCAUGAGUUCAAGUCCCCUAUUGAUUUCUGUGCAUCAGAUUAGAGCUUCGAGCCUGCUUUGGAUUCUGUCUCCCUCUCUCUCUGCCCCUCCCCCACUUGCGUGCACACGCUCGUGCUCUCUCUCUCUUAAAAAUAAACAUUAAAAAAACAUUUUUAAAAGCCUUAAUAGGGACCCCAAUUUCUAGAAAAUACUGAGUGGACUCAAGCAAAAUCAUUCUUUGUUUUUUUUUUUUCUUUUAGUUUAGUUUAUUUAUUUUGAGAGAGAGAGAGAGAGAGAGAAUGCACCCGCCCAGGAGUGGGGAGGGGCAAAGAGAGAGGCAGUGAAAAAUCUCAAGCAGAAUCCACGAUGUCAGCGCAGAGACACGAUGUCAACUCAGAGCUCGAACCCAGGAACCAUGAGAUCAUGAGCUGAGCCAAAAUCAAGAGUCAUAUGCUUAACAGACUGAGCCACCCAGGUGCCCUUCAAGUAAAAUCAUUCUUAAGAGAAUGUAAAUAUCUCCCUUUGUUCUAUAUUUUCAUAUUUGUGGAAAUUACACAAGACUGAAGUUAUCCAACUUCCUCUUCAAAUCUGGCAUAUUUUCACCAGUGUGCCAGCUGGGGUGGUCAACUAUUAUGAGAAUUAUGAUCCCCACAGCUGCUUAGUAUGUUAUUAAACAGCACAGUCUAGAGAUGGAGAAUGUCAGCUGCCAGCAUUCAGAUCUCAGCUCCGCCACAACCUAGCUGUGUGACCCUGAGCAAGUUACUUUAUGACUCUGUGCCUCAGUUUGCUUAUGGCUGAAAUGAGGGUACCAUAGAGAUAUUAUAAGGAUUAGAUGACAUAUCUGCAGAGUGCUCAAAACAAUACCUGGAAAAUAGUAAGUCCUAUAUAACCCUUGUUAAAAAUUAUAAAAGAAAAGCUCAUUCAGGUAGAUUCUUAUUUCAAAGAUUUAGAGGGGCACCUGGGUGGCUCAGUUAAGCGUCCGACUCCAUCUCAGGUCAUGAUCUCACGGUCCAUGAGUUUGAGCCCCGCGUCAGGCUCUGUGCUGUCAGCUCAGACCAUGGAGCCUGUUUCAGAUUCUGUGUCUCCCUCUCUCUCUGACCCUUCCCUGUUCAUGCUCUGUCUCUGUCUCAAAAAUAAAUAAACGUUAAAAAAAAAAAAAAGAUUUAGAGACUAAUAUUUUCCCUCCUCUUUUCUCCCUUGGGGAGAAAAAAAAACAUUUUAAGAUGAGCCUUAAAAUAGAAAAACACUCCAGUGAUGAUAAUGGAGGUUUAUUCUUCUACAAAUCAUGGCAAAAUAAUUUCUGAAGACUAGAGAGGAAAAAAAGCAUUAUUUUUCUGUCAGAAACGUGAAGGGUUAUCUGCCACUUCAACCACAAAGGCAACGUUAACCAAAAAACUUAGUUGGUGUGGGCUCUGAGAUUACAUAACUAUCAAUUUAUAUCAUUUCCUGUCCUAGUUUUCAGACAUAAAUAAAAGUCUUCUACUCACAUAUUUAAAAUAUCAUCCCGUUACAUGAUGUUUGUAAAUGAGAAUUUUGUAUCUUCUUGGGCAAUUUUUAUGUAACUUUUUACACUUUUAGUUAAAUGAUAUGAUCAGCUAAUAGAUAUUUUAAGUUUUCUUUAGGUAAUAAACUUGCAAUAGAGUAAUAUGAAGUCAAAUGUUUAAGACCAGUUGAAGAAAAAAGAACAAAAAAAAUUUUUUAAGUCAAACAUUCCUAUGGGAAUAAGCCAUUAAGUUGGUGGUCCUAUCAAGAUAUGUUAACUAAUGGCCACAUAACAAUGAGAGGAGUAUUUUAUAAAUAUUAUUUCAGAAACAUCUACACUUUGGGAGUAUUCCGUCCCAUGUUCUUACUGAAACACUGACUUUUUAAGAUAGAAUUGUUAGGAAAAUACAGACUGUUGAGGUUAGUAAUAUUGAGUUGGUGUGAAAUAAUUAAAAUGCUUACAUGAGAAUAACCUUUACCACCAUCAAUUUCUCCCCCAUAGACAUAAUAUUUUGGAUUCAGAAGCACACUGUGGAAUAAUGUUCACCAUGUCUUUUUCCUUUCAAAUACUAAUCAUGCCUUUCCAUCCUCUUUCAUUCAGGUUGGUUCAUUCAGAUAUCAUCAUCUUCCUUUUUGUAUCAUGUUUCUGUUUCCAAAAAAGGUGAGACUAAUAUUUGGAGAAUCUAUAAAAGCUAAACUGGAAGAAAAAGAGAGGAGAUUGGUGGUUGUCAGGGGCUGGAGGGUAGAGGAAACGGUGAGAUGUUGGUCAAAGGACCCAAACUUCCAGUUAUAAAUGAGUAAGUUCCAGGGAUGUCAUAUAUAACACAUGAUUAUAGUUGACAAUAGUACCUUGUAUACUUGGAAGUCUGUAAUGUAACUGGGGCUCCGGGGCUCCCACACAGACCAGGUUUGGCUACUCACAGCUGACAAAAUCCAAAGGCAGAGAGACAGUGGAGGUGAAACAAGAAAGGAAUUGAUUUCAGUGAGACCAACACCAGGAAGACAGAGAACUAAUGUCUCCAAAGUGCUGAAAAUACUUCUAGGUGUAUAUAAGGAAAAUAUGGGACAAAGGGCGGUGGGUACAUGCAGGUGGGCAGUAAAGGUCAGGUUGAUCAUUGCCCUGGGGUCAAUCACUGCAGGUCUUGCUGGCUCAGAACAGUUCUUAUUGUUUGAGGGGGCGGUUUCCAUUCCCUUUAUGGGAUGCUUUACCUGAGCUAAUAGAUAAGCUGGCAGGAACAACCAAUUAGAAAGUAGAAACUGAGGUCAAAAUGAAGGUCGUUGAAGUCUUCUUUCUCUAACAGAGCAAAUCUUAAAUGUUCUCAUCACACAUCAAAAAGGUAGCUAUGUGAGGUGAUGGAUGUGUUAACUAACCUUAUCAUAGCAAUUAUUUCACCAUAUAUACAUGUAUCAAAUCAACACAUUAUAUACCUUAAAUUUAUACAAUGUUAUAUAUUAAUUUUAUGUCAAUCAAACAGGAAGAAAAUAAAAGAUGUCAGAUAAUUUUCAGUAUAAGGAAGAAAAGUAAACUGGAUUUCACACAGUUUCAAGUGACCCAAAAAAUUAGUAUCAGACAUACUUAGGACAGUACAAGAAGCGCAGUCAUUAAUGAUAUUCUUUGUAGCAAUAAAUGGUUGAAAACAAAUAUCCAUCAAAAGAGGAAUGGAUAAAGUUACUGUGUUAAAGUUAUAUAAUAAAAUAUUAUGUAACACUUAAAAAAAUGAAACCUGUGUAUUUAUGGAUAUAUACAUCAACUUGAGAAUUCAAAACUUAACAUACAGUAUGAUAACAUGUAUAUAAAAUUUAAAGAGAAAUUUAAAGAGAAUGUGUUAUUUACAAAUACAUUUAUGAAUCUAUCUAGAAAAAAUAUAAGUGUUGCCAGGUGAACUGAGGUGACCCCAGGCCCUGAAGCCUCGACCCACCCAUCCCAAAGAUGUUGCCAAAUGUUUUUGAUCUCCAGGGGCUCCUGGCUGGCUCGGUUGGUUAAACAUCCAACUCUUGCUUUCGGCUCAGGUCAUGAUCUCAUGGUUUCAUGAGUUCAAGCCCCACAUCUGGCCCUGUGCUGGCAGCACAGAGCCUGCUUGGGAUUCUCUCUCUCGCCCUACUCCUCCCCGACUCACAAUGUCUCUCUCUCCAAAUAAACUUUAAAAAAAAAAAGGCUCUUGGUCUCCUCGUGAGAAAAGAAUUCCAGGGCAGGCACAACACAGAAGAUGAGGAACACAAGUGGGAACGUUUAUUAAAGUGAAAGUACACUCUCGAGAUGUCAGAGUGGGUGCACCCAGGAGAGAGCUGUGUGCCCUGGGGUUUGGGUUUCUAUCUUUUAUUGACAGUUGUUAACUAGGCGGCAGAAUAUUCAUUAUUUGGGACAGGGACUUCUUACCAACAGGACUUCCUGCCUUUUCUUCCCUGUUUGGCCAGGGGUUUCCUGUCAUGGCACCCACCAUCUUGGGCCUGUCUGGUUUGAUCCAGCUUCUUGUGGAGUGCAACAGACAGGCCUCUGACUAGCCUGUAAGCUGGCCAUGACUUUCUCUUUGCUGGCUUCCUGUUAGGCCCUCACUAACUCUAACAAAAGAGUUUACACCAGAUGUAUUAUUAUUGUUACUUCCAAGAAAGGGACCAGGAGUAAAAGGCUGCAACAGUAUCUUUAACAACUUAAUUAUUUAAAAAAUAUGUAAGUGACAAAAUAUUAACAUUUGUUAAAUCUGGAUAGUGUGUAUAUGUACUUGUUUCACUAUUUGCUGUGGUUUUCUAUACCUGACUGCACCACAAGCAAGCUAAUUAACAUGUCCAUCACCUCACAUAGUUACCUUUUGUUUUGCUUUGUUUUUACUGCAUACAUGAAAAUCCCCAGAACUGCCACUUUGUUAGUUACAACUUUGAUUUGAAGAGCCCAUAUCUGGUUAGCACAAGAGCCACAUGUUAUGGUGGAGCAGCUCACCAUUCUUGGGGAAGACGUGAUCGCUAAUGUUGCUAUUUCACCCAAAAUCACUGCAAGCUAGAGCAAGGGUUUGUUAAGUGGUCACUGUGUGAAAGCUUUGCUUCAAAAUAAUUUCCUUAAGUCCAAAAAUGUGCAAUAGCACUUUCUACUUUCAAUAAAAUAAUAUUUACUCUAAAUAAGUAACUUUUAAAAAUAGGGGGGCACUUGGGUGGCUCAGUUGGUUAAGUGUCUCACUCUUGAUUUCAGAUCAGGUCAUGAUCCCUGAGAUUGGGUUCCCCACUGACGGCGAGGAGCCUGCUUGAGAUUCUCUCUUUCCCUUUCUCUCUGCCCCUUUCCUGCAUGCACGUUCACUCUUGUUCUUUCUCUCAAAAUAAAUAAAUUUAAAGAAACUUUUGAAAAUUUUAAAAAGAAUAACAUUUAUGCUUAUUAUUAACACCAGGCUUGAAGUUAAGCCAAUAUUUAUCCUUAACUGAUGAAAAUAAUAUAUCUUAGAUUUGCAUAUGCCGUUGUUAGCAUCCCCAUCCAGCUCGAACUCUCAGGCAGAUGUGGUAGUGUCUAGUAAUUAGCCUCCAUUCAGAAGAGACACUUCAGCCUACAUAACAUUGAAUAUGGCAAGUUAUGCGACCCAAGACAAUGGAGUAGGGAAGUGCCCACCACACACAGGGAGGUAAAGAAGAACUGUGAACAAAUACUAUGAUGACCACACCAGCAUUCAUUAUAUUGAAUGCAUCUGUGUUAGUUUGGGUAAAAGAAGUGUAGGAGACAAAAAUAGGAGAAAUUUCACAAUGCAAACUCAUUUUCUGUGUUGUAAAAUAGAGGUAAUAACUAUACCAUGUUACUUUGGGUAAGGCCCUAAUUUGACUAAAAAUUGUUGUUCAGAGAGGUUUAGUAACUUCCUUAAGUUACCACAGCCGGCAAAUGGUAAAUGAUGGAUUUGAACACACGCUGGUCAUCAUUAAAAAACUCUGCUAUUGAUAUAGGAUAUGCUCCUAAGAUCAUAUCUAUAAAAUACUAUAGUGUUUCAACAUGAUCUUUUGCUUCACAAUCUAUUAAUCUGUGUACCCAGGACAGUUUCUAAAAGCUAUUUCCAGACAUGGAGACUUGCUUUAUAGUCUUUUAAAGCUUUGCUUCUGAACCCCAUGUUCAGCUGGCACCAAGCCUCCUGCCACUGAUAACAUUUACUACCAAAAGGACUUUACUAAGAUUUGAAAAUGUCUUGUGAUAAAGAUCCUUUAGUUAGAUUACAUCUUAGCCUCUGCCGGUGAUAACAGGAUUACAGUAUUUUAGGUAGCAGAGGAGAAAAGGGUCAAAUAUAAUGUACACGAAUGACAGUUCAAGAGAAACGUGCUUAGGAAAAAAAGAAAAUAUUAGUAUGACAUGUCAUUACUCUUACAUAAUACCUUUGGCACACACUAUUAUGAGAGACUAUCUAAUACAAUUCUUACUUAAGAAAAUUUUUAAAAAAUUCAGUUAGAAAAAGUGUAACAGUUUUCAAAGAUGCCAAUGUGUUUUCUUCUGGGAAUCUCAAGUUCAAGUCUGACCAUGUACCUGGCCAUCUUGCUGGAAAAAAAAAUAAUUAAUGACAUUUGGUUUAUUUAAAUAAAUUAAAAACAAAACUUAAAAAUAAAUCAAUAAAAUAAUGUGAGUUUCCAAAAUUCUACUGCCAAAAUAAACUUCUCUCAACAUUUUGGUCAUCACAUUCAACUGCCCUCUCUUCCCCCCUUAUAAAUGCUUAACUUUUGGAGGGAAUAUUCUUUACUGUAUAUUUUAACCCAGAAAAAAUACACACUAAAGAAUUUUUUUAGUUUCUUGGGACAGAUGGAAGGGGGAGAAAAAGCAACAAUAAACAUCAAAUGUCUUCCAUGAGCUGACAUUGUGCUAAAUGCUUAUCAAAAUCUUUCCUUAUAUAAUGCUUACCAAAAACUUCAGAAUGUAAAACAAAAUGAUGAUCAGAGUGUUCAAACGGCUUAUCCCAGGGCUGGAUGGAGAAAUUAGGGCUUACAUUAAUUCAGUUUAAGUCCUGAGCUAGUCUUUGUUCAAUUAAGACACAUCCACAAACCUAUAAUAGCCCCCAAUCCACCAUUUAUGAUCCCAGAAAUCUGAAAUCUGGAAAUUAUUAUUGCAGAACAUUCACUAUUGGAAUCAACUAAUCACAAAUAAACUGACAAACCCAACAGUAUUAACUUGAGCCUCUAAAUGCUCUACAAAAUCCAGGCCUUCAGGCCACUGUGAAGGCAGUUUGUUAGAGAAAGGCAGGCUAAUUGCCAAAGAUCACCUGAUCCCUUUUUUUCUUGGGCAUCCUGGUGGUCAAUGGGAGGAACUGUCUUGACUUCUUAGUCUUAGCAAGGCAGACAAGAGAAAUCAAUAUAUUUCCUACAUAAACCUAUACAAAAAUGAACUGGUCUUGCAGAUUUCAUUCAUACUGUCUUUUUCCCCAUCUUCUAAAAUUAUCAAUGAAUUUCAAUGAAAAUGUCCUUAAGUAUAUGAUGUUCUUCAAAAUCAGUGUCCCCUUCUGGGUCCCCUUUCUGGGAUUUCUCUACUUCAUCAUCCCUGUAGCAUCGAGGUUCACAAAGGAUGGCAAGAUGCAGCUAAAUAUGCACAAAUUCAGUAUCCUGUACCAUCAGGUCUCAGUUCUUUAUUUGCAUUAGGAAACAAUGAUUUCAUGAUGGUUCCCGAAAAAAGGAGAGGAAGAAAUAUCCUUAGAAGGAACAUGAAAUCAGGAAUUUAGGUAGAAUGACUCAGAAUGUUCAAGUUGUAGUGAUCUGAGAGGUCCAACCCUUUCAUUUAUAUGUAAGGACUCCAUGGACCAAAAGAAUUGGGUGAUUCAGGCAUGAUUAUACAACAGAUCCUACAGAGCCACGGCUCUAUCCCACUACAGUAAACUCAAUAAUACAAGAUAAAAAAAAAGACAAUAUUUGCUCUUGAAACUGUGCUACUAGAAUGGAUCAUUCAAGCUAUCUUCACAUAUUAGCUAAUAUGUUGAAGUUAAAAGAAAAUGCAGCUUUGCAUGAAUGUCAUAUAGGUCUUAAAACAAUUUUAUGUGACACAGAUAUAUGUAUAUAGAUACAUUUUCUUUUUAUAAGGUCUAAGCUUUUUUAAAUACAAAGAUACUAAUGAGACAAAUAAGUUCUAUAGCUCAAGCAGAGCAUUUAUGGGCCUUCUGCUUUGCAUUACCUUCCAAAACAUGUUCCAUCUCUUGUCCUCAAAAAAUGGAAAGUUAAGCUGGAAACAUCUUUUGGAGACCAGUGGCUCAAAUAACUUUCUUCCAAGUGCAAAAGAGACUCAUUAAAAUUUCUGGCACUCUGCUCCUAUUAUGCGUAAAGGAAUUGACAAAUUGCAUAAGAGUUCCCAUAAAAUCAUACUCCAGUGCAAAUUCUAGCUAAUAUUGUGAGAUGGUAGACUUUGGAAGUACUACAAAGGGUCACCCUGAUGCUACAAAGGAGUCUUUGAUCCUACCUCAUAGAGCAAGAUGACUUUCCUGCAGACUGGUUCGUAUUUAUUCAGUCAACUGGUUCAUAUUUAAUCAGUCAACUAAUAUGUCAACAAGACAUAUUUCUUGUGUCCAGUUGGGCGUAUGAAGAAAUAGGAAUUGCAUGCAGCCUAUAUCAACCAGGGCCUGGCCAAGAAAACUGGAAGUUUAACAGAAGCAUUUUAGUAUUGAGAGUUAGUUCAAAAGAAAGAGCUGUAAGGGGGGCCUAUAGGGCAACUCAGAGAUUAACAAUAGCAGAAAGCCACCAUUACCACUAGGAUCAGAGGGUUAAUGGGAGGUUGUUGCCAGAGACCAGAAGCUGACACCUAAAGGUACUUUUUAAAACCAUUUCAAGGGCUGCAUGGCAGGAUCUGGGAUAAUAAAACAGACAUAAUCACACAACACACUGCCUGAUACAGAGACAGAGACAGAGAUAGAGACAGAGACAGAGACAGAGAGAGAAAGGAGAAAUACCUCAGUCUGCCCCGACUCUUCCCUCCAGUUGUCCACUAAUGCUUCCUAUUGGCUGAAACUACCUUCUAACCAAUGGGAAAUGUACCUUCUAGUUCUUCUCUUAUACUCUGGUUAUUUAUUGCUGUGUAAUAAACUACACAAAUACAUGGUGUGGUAAAACUACAACCACUGCAUUAUGCUCACAGGUGUGGCAGCUAUGGCUAGUGUCUGCUCUGUGAUGUUUGGAGCCUCAGCUAGGACAACUCUAAGGAUUCUCUGUGCCUGCAUCGGGAUAGCUAAAGAAUGAAUUCAGCAUGGACUGUCAAUUGGAGUACCUAUAUGUGGCUUCUACUGUACUGUGGUUUCAGAGUGGCCAGACAUGGUUAUCACAUGGUUAUCUCUUAGGGAUCCAAGAGUGAAUCUGACCAGCAAACCAGGCUGAGUCUUUGAUGAGCCAUCAUGGGAAGUGAGUUGUGGUUUUAUAGCCUUGUGUUUUUGGUAGUAUGGCAUCACUUCUGCUGUACUCUAUAGACUGAAGAGGUCACAGCCCACAUAGAUUCACUGACAGGGGGCAUGCAGCCCAUCUCUGAAUGAGAAGCAUAUAAAAGAAUGCACUGCCAUGUUUUGAAACAAACUCUCCUGAGCACAGACAAAACCAACAUAAAUAAAGAACAAAAUUCAAAAAGGAAUGCAAGGACUCAACAACAAUACCAGAAGACAGUACAAAUGAUGUACAUCACCAUGCACUCAGAAUAACUGCCAAAUGAGUACCACAGACAAUAAAAGUUUCACAAGGUCUAGAAGGAUAAAUCAGUGAGAAGAAGUAAGCAUGGCUUCCAAAAACAUUUUCUAGCUUUCCUAAAGCUGAAGUACAGAAGUAUAGGGAAAUCCUCUAUUUCCCCCAAACUUUAGAAGAGCAUGUCACAUACAAGCUAGGUCCAAACCAAGGUGAAUUCUGAAUUCUUGGGAGGCCAGUCCUUCUGCUGACCUACCAUGCACACAAUUUUAUCUUCAGGAGCAGUAAUCUGCACUGAUGGCUGGACUUCCAUCCUCAACAGGAAGUUACCUCCGCUUUUUCCAGGUAUGCUAGAGAACUUCGGACCCUCUGUUAUUCAAAUAUAAAGCACUCCUGCUUCCUGCUGGCUCAGCCUCUACACUUGGCAUGGUUCUUCCUUGUUCCUCCCUCCUCUCUUUCCUUUUCUCCUUCAGUCAACUCAUGCCCUGCCUUGAAGACCUUUUAGUUUGGGGCUUACUUUGCAUUCUUAGCCUCACAUUCCAGUGGAACCUUUCAGCCUAAAGCAACUAUUACGUUCUUUUGUAGGAUGUGGUGAGUCCAGCAGUCUUCAGUUACCACUUGUAGACCUCCAGACCUCUCUGUGGUAAGGGGGGAGGAGCCUGGCCCAUUUCUGCCUGGGACAGAUGACUAAAGCAAAGCACAUGACCCAAAUUAGCAAAGGAUGGAGCAGGGACACAUGGAAAGAAUUUCCUUCAAACAAAUACAAGUUUUUUUGGACUUUUCUUUUAUGAUUCAACUCUUCUGUUGUUUGGCUAGAAGUUGGAGUCAUGGAAAAGAGAAAUGGCUGCUGGGUGGAUGGGAAAAGUUUGAAACUGAAGCUGAUCACCUGAGUGUGAAGAAAAUACAAAAUUAAUGCAUAUUCAAGAGGCAUCAUAGAGGUCUGUCAUGUAACUGUAUACCAUUAAACCAUCCCUGUGCCCUCUGUUCCAUUUGGGUUUCUAUUUUGGUUAACACAAAAGCACUUGUGACCGCAAAGGUUUUAUUUUAUGUGCAAACAGAAGGCUCUGGUGAGUGUCCAUCUCUAUAACAACCUCACAGAGAUGGAGCAGUAAGCUUUGCUAGGAAGCAGGCUUCCACUCAAUUAUAUACUGAGAAAAACAUCCAGAUCUUAAAGCCUAUAACUGACCUCUGCAGUGGAUUAGGAAAGGGUGAAGGCUCACAUCAAGAAUUCCUUUAGAUUUAGUAGUAUUUGACAGGUCUCAGUUGUUGACAAUAACUGUGAACUAAAUUCCUGAAAAAAUAGAAACAAUUUCUAAAAUGAUCAUGUGUUUUAAAGAAACUGGCCAAAGUUCAGUCUGUACUCAGCUCUUCAGAAACACACCCUCUCCACACAGUAUACAGUGAGAUUAAUAUGUGUAAAUUCUAGUACUUUACAACUGAAGUCCUCUGCUUCUGAGCCAACAAUAUUACAACUCAAUUCUUUUGCCCUACCUAAGACUCUGUGCCUAUUGUCAAGGGUAGUAAUUCUCUGUGGCCUUCUAUUUUAUAAGGCCAGGUAAAAUAAAAAGGAAACAGAACCACUGUCUUCAACUCCGCAGCUUUGUCUUUGAAUAUACUCUUCCCACAUUUUUACUUUUUAAUUUUUAUCUUACUUUCUCUUCACAGUGAUAACUAUAUUUAUCUGAGUGUUCAUUGCUUUUGAAUUAGAGUUUCCUUGAAUAAGAGUUAUCAGUUUCCUUUAACCUGAGGAAGCAUUAUGUUUUGUGCCUGCCCUUCAUCGUUAGGUAGGAUAGUAGAAAGCCCAAGUGUCACUCCUUGGCAAGAAUCAUCAAUUCUCCGUGUCCUGGUAAGCAAGGACAGCAGACAUAACUGAAGAAAUCAAGUGUGCAACACCUCCCAGAAGAGAUACAGGCCAACUUGGACAGAGAACUGUAAGUGUCACAAAGAAAAUUAUCUCCAGAGGGGUUAUCAUAAUACAUAAAUUCAGGUGAGCUUAUUAUAGCUGAAGAUGUUUACUCUGACACUGUUGCACUGACCCCCAAGGACAACCAAGACUCAUAAAUUCUGACUGUCCUGAAAGCACAUGGUACACUCCUACCCCACGCACACUUGAUUUCUAAGAUCUUGCUGUGUGGAGUGUGGUUUGUAGAUUAGUAGCAUCGGCAUCACCUGGAUGGAAAUGCCUCACCCCAGACUUAAUUAUUCCACAAGUUUUCCGGAAGAUUUCUGUGAUUGGUAUGCACAUUAGCACUGGAGAAGUUCUGGUCUAAAAGAUUCCCUCCAAAUUUGCUGUCUGGAGGCAAAGUGUAAAAAGUUCCCCCACCUGCUGAUUAAAGGAAGGGUCUGCUCACUUGUGAAGUGGAACAGACAGCAUUAAUAUAUAUAAACCAAGGCCCCUGUUAAGUCACUUUGGAAAUUCCCAAACUGUGAGUUGGAUUAGUCCAGAAGCUGUGGUUACCAGGCAAGUCAAGGGCCCAAACCACCUCAGAAAGAUUCCAAAAACACACUUGGUGUCACAGUUUCAAAACAAAGCUAGUAAUAUUUUAAUCCCCUCACCACAGGGCAUGUCUAAUAUAGCCUGUCAUGAGGCCAGUGAUUUAGAGAAAAGAAUCUGGAUUUCCCCUGUACCACUAGCUUUUUAAUAUUGAAAAAAAAAUAAAAUGUGUAUUGGAAAUAGCUGCAAAUGAGAGCAUUUCAAACAGAUUGCAGGCCUGCCUCCAACACUAAUGAUAAUUCAAGAUCAUUCAAUGGGUUUUAAUGUCAGGCUUUCUAGAUUGUUCACUUGAUGAUAUCACCACAUACUUUGAAAAUCCUUUUAAAAAUUACCAUAACAUUUAUGGAAAAAAAUAAACAGAGCUGAAACUUAUCCCACUCCAAAGGAUUUAAGAUUGUUAAACCCAGACUUCAUAUUCGUAAGAUACCACUCUCUCCCUGUGUCUUAGGAUUGCAAGAUCAAAAUUCUGCUCUGGAGGAAUUUCCUAUUUUAUCCAUAACAGUUUUAUAUUAAGAAGUUAAUGACUAUAGCAAGGUCUGAUCUAGUGAUAAUACCCAAGGUAAAUGAAGAAAUCAAAAUCAAUGAUGGGGCCAAGGAGACAUGCUAAUUUAGCUGCUUCUCAUCAAGAGCACCAGAAGUCCGGAGGAAUAGCACCCGUGGCCUGUUCAAACAUGUCGACCCAUUUGCAGUUGUCCUUGGGACUGCCUCACAAAGGAUUGAGGAUUAACCCCUUGGGUCCUCAUGUACCUGGCUUGAACCUGAUCAUCCUAGCACUGUAGCACGAGGCUGCUCCUCAUGUUCAGAUGAGAAUAAUUCUUUGACCACAAAUCAGUCAGGAGAGACUCCCUUUCAUCUGAGUUCCUUUUUAUGGAAAAUGAUUCUAGCUUCCAUCCUUACAGGAUUUAUCAUAAUUUUUCCCUUAAGUAUCAACAACCAGUGGUUUGAAUUUCUGAAUCCACCCUCCAAAACAACCAGCUCAUUGCCUUAUGAUUCAGUUUCUUGUUACUGAAUUUGUCUCACUGUAUCUCCAUUGCACCUAAGGUAACCAACUCAUCACACUUGACACUGAGUGUCUCCUGGCCCAAGUAACCCUCAAUCUCAGGCCAACUGGGUCUGUUGGUCACCUUAUGUACAUCUUUCUUCCUAUCACUGUCUACUUCCACCUGUAUCUCCAGCUCCUGCUGACAAAUACAUAUGUAUACAUUCUCUAUCUUCCAUGAUAUCCAUAUUGUGUUGGCUUUCUCUUCCUGCAAACCACAUCCCCCACAUACAACAUACACACCAUCUUUCUUUUCAUUUAAAUUUUGUUUGCUAAAUGUUUCUCCAACCCUAACCAACAGAGGGUUAGCAGAGUAAAUAGAGAAACAUUAGAACAUAUAAGGAUUUUAUACAAACCAAAAUAAUUAGCCAGGAAUAGGAUAAUGCCUGGAGUAAGAUAAAAGCUUUAAAGGAAGAGCAUGUUCUCUCCAAGCACGGUAGUAUAUUUUGCACUGGGUAAGAUAUGAACAAUUUUAGUGGGGAGAGGUCUGAGGGAGAACAUGUAAGUAUGAAUUUUGAAAUACCUGGGCAAAGAGAUCCCUAUGCAUGUUUCAUGCUGUCACUUUAUUUCCAGAUAGGAGAAGUGAGGUAAGUACUAAUACAAAAUUUAGUGACAAAGACUUUGAGCUGCAGGAAAAUUAGGUAAUUUGUAAAUUUUCUGAUUCGGCCAUUAAGCUAAUGUGGCAGAAUCGAGAUUCUGGAAGUAGAUCUCUUACAGAAUUACUACUCUUAUUUAGAAGACAGAGGACAUGAGCAGCUAUGCAUACGAAAAGUAUUUGGCAAAUUUUCAAAAGGUAAAUCAGCUCCUCUAGACUACAUGCUAGGAGAGAUCAGCUUAUAGAUCGGUUAGCUGAAUGAAGGACUGGAUGUUGCAUAUCUGCACGGGUAGGUUAGGGUAUAGAGGCCUAGAAAAGCCAUACUCAGAGAGUGUGGAUACCUCCUGGAUUGAGGGCUGGGAAGAGAAGAAUGGCAUCCUGGGUAGUAAGACUGUGGAGGAGUCACUGGUGUGAAUUGACAACAUCCCUCCAUACAGGGAAAGGGAAAGUGCUGAACCCAGCAUAUUUCAGUUUCUAGAUGCCUUGAGGAAGGCAUAAGGCAGGGGAGACUGUUGAUACGAAUCUGUUAAGUUUGGUGAGUUAAGUACAUCCGUGGAAAAACAUUAAAUAUAAUACUCUAUUUAUAAUGAGAAAGAUAUUAGUGGAAAUGUUACAAAUUAGGUGUAACUAUAUGAGCUAAAACCCAAAUGAAUUAUAAACCAUAUUUUAAAACCAAAAUGAGAAAUACCAAAAUGGGAUAGUAGAAUUUCUCACUGGCUUUGCUUCAAGGAAUCUAUUUAAAGUACUUAUGACUAUCUUAAUAAUUAAUCCAUAUUUGUCGAGUUUCUUUGCUCUUUGGUCUAGGCCAAGAAUUGGAGCCAGGGCAAUGGGGUACACCAGAAAUAUGAGAUAUGAAUUUUCAAUCUUGUUAAGAAGCCAGAAAAAAAAUAAAAAAAUUAAAAAAUUAAAAAUAAAAAAUUUAAAAAAAGAAGCCAGAACAUAUACAGGAAACCAAUAGAGAAAGAGAACACAGUAAUAAGAACCUAAAUAAACUACUCAGAAAAUUGGUCCUCCAGAGAUAGAAAGGAGCAGAUCACUAUAGUCUAGUUGGUGCUUGAAGAAAAUCUUACUCUAAGCAAGUUGUCACUAAUGUUGUAUAAACGUUCACAGAAAAAUGAUAAUAAAAUACGAGUUCUUAUUGUCUGCCAAGAACUGUGCCAAUGGUGUUAAAUGUAUCACCUCACUUACUCCUUCCAACAAUUAUAGAAAAGGGUGCCAUUUUUUAAGAGAGGAAAUUUAGGAACCGGUAAGUUAAUAAUUGAGAGAGAAGGGUUAAUUUGUCCAAGACUGACUCCUGAAGCCUGGCCUCUCCUAAAAGGAGUUUUCCUUCUGCAGUGCUCUGUGAGAAACCCACAAUGGUUAGUGUGCAAGCCAAUCAAUGCUUGGUAACAGCUUGGUUAACAGUUAAGGCCUGAAACGCAACCCCUCUUCCCCUCCACCCUCAGUCUUGCCAAUGGAGGCGUCUAUGCUUUACCAACCAAGAAUUCCAACAUGGCUGACCAUGCUGCUAACUCAUGUGAUCCAGUUGCAAUUACAAGUCUUGUAAUCCAACUUCUUGAUAAUGCCAGAGCAGGGGCUUGUGUCUCCCUUCCAUCCUCAUCACAGAUGAGGACUAAGCCGACUGCAGAAGGUCAGCACUAAGUUUCUGCUCUUCAUUUUACUAUCAUAUCCUAGUCCUUGAUCACAUCACAGUCUAGUCAUAUAGUAUCAAAGAUCCACAGCCCAAGGGUCAGAAGCUCUCCUGCAAAGUCAGAAGUCAGGCCCUGCCAAAUCCUACCUAGGUCACUGCCCCAUACUCAAUGAGGGUACCAGGAGACAUGUAUGUAUGUCUGCAAGUGAUCUGGGGCAGUGAGUUUCUCCAAUGAGGUACUGCUCCUGCAAUGAGCAUUGUUUGGCCCCUGACCUUGUUUGUGCUACAAUCAUUUACCCAAGGAUCAACCUUUAGUAACGUCAGACCCAAUAAAUAAGCAUUUCAAAUUAAUGGUGGCCAAAUAAAUCAGCGAACGCAAUCCAGAUGGUUGUUAUCAAUGAGUGGAUAAUAUAUCAAUGAGUUGAUAACAUUUACAUCAUUUACAUGACCCUUGAAGGAAAGCCUAUCUUAAAAAGACAUUUGAAUAAGCUUUUACAAGUAGAAUUGGUGAUUUAAAUGUCUGAAAACAAUAAAAAAUACAAUUCUUUGGGGAGUAGGGCUCAGAUUAUUUAUACUUUAAAAAAUCUUAACAUUUAUUUAAUUUUUGAGAGACAGAAGAGACAGAGUGUGAGUGGGGGAGAGGCAGAGAGAAAGAAGGAGUCACAGAUUCCAAAGCAAGCUCCAGGCUCUGAGUUGUCAGUACAGAGCCCAAUGUGAGGCUCAAACUCACGAACCGUAAGAUCAUGACCUGAGCCAAAGUCGAUGCUUAACUGACUGAGCCACCCAGGGACCCCAGAUUAUUUAUACUUUUAAAAACAUAACUAGACCUCUAAAAGCUCAACCUAAUGCCACAGCUAUAUAUGGAAACCCCUCUGCCAGGAAUAGGGAAAUGAUAAGCAGAUAGACCUGACUUCAUAAAGCUUAUAUAUAGUGACAAUCCAUAGAUGAAAAACAGUUGGUUCCAAUCCAGGGUGGUACAUGCUAUAAAGGGACAGCUCUGUAUGCCAUGGGGACAGAGAAAGAGCUUAGCACAGGCUGCAGGGCCAGGAAGAGCAGGUGGAAAUAUCAAGGGGUCUUCCCUUUAGGGUUAUGAACUUGGAAUGUGAAAAAUAUUACAUCUUUACUUUCAAUAACUCUAACUGAAAAUUUAGUAUGUCUUUCUAUAAUGAUUGUAAGGCAACAAACCACAGCAGCAAAAAUGGACUCUGUGGUCACAAAGUAGGAAUCAUAGAUAUUUUCACAUCAUAUCACAGUUACUGAAGAUAUCUUAAAAUGUCCUUUAUGCUUAUCAUCACUUCAAAAUGACAGAGGUUAUUAAACCCAUCACUGUAUUUUGUCAUUUAACACACGAAUAAAGAAGCACAUUUAACACAUGAAUAAAGAAGAAUAAAUUUAUUUCCUCUUAAAUUUUGAUAGAUGUAUUUCAAAAGAACUGUUCUCCUUGCUCAUACACUUUAUUGUAUGUAUUGAAGCAUGACUAAAUGGGUCCAUGGUCCCAAAGGAGGAAAAAUCCUUCCCCUGGUCUCAGGCAGUGGGUAAGUUUGUGAAAGCAGGUAGGGGAGCCCAUACGGUUGUUGGUGGAGGUAUGGAUGAGGGAGACUGGGGAGGUUGGCUUCUGUCUGGAGGAAAUGAACAGUGUUCCAGGUAGAGACACCAGCACAUACACAUGCAACCCUGGAGCAACGUGAAGUGGGAGCGAGGCACAAAUAUUGGUAAUCUCUGGAUCUGGAAGGACAGGAAGAAAGUGGAGGGAAACAAUGCAGUUUAGAAAGACAAUCAGGUGACAGCCCCGUGACAUCUGGAGGGGCAUGCAGAAGAAUUUGAAUUUCAUCCUAAGGGGACUGGGUGGUAAACAAAAGUUUUCAGGCAAAGUGUUCAAAAUUAUUCUUUCUGUAGUUAAAAAGAAAAAGCCCUCCUCCCAGAUAACUUCCCUUUCUCAAUCUUACUUCUUUAAUACUUGAAAGGAUCCUGUGGCAAAGAGUCAUAAAUUUCCUUCUAUUACAUACAGAUGGGCAAAGACAACAUAGCAUUUUAUGUGAUUUUUUUUUCCUACACUGGUCUAAUCUUUGUACAAUUUUAUGUACAAAUGUUGACUUAAAUAUGACAUAGAGGAAUAUCACCUUCUCCUUUAAUUUUACACAUGCUGUAACUAUCCAGCCUGGUGAUUCAUCUCUUUCCCUCCUCCUUCCCAUGGUGGGGACAGGUCCUCUGUCCCAUGGUGACUGCGGGUAGGGGAAGGUAUAUGAGUGUGUUGGGGGGAAGUCUUGUGAUGCUCUCCUGACCAAGGCAUCCAUGGGCCAUUACUGGCAAUGGGUCCUGUAUCUACCUUUUCACUGCUCUCCUAGGUAACAUCAUUGUGAUAUUUACUGCUUGUGACCGUACGGUCUUACUCUCUCUGGUCUUAGGCGAUGAUGUCCCUUCCUGUUGAGUUAGGUUAGGUCCUCCCUGACUCUUGCUGGCAAUCCAUAUCCUACUCCCCCAAGUGUCCACCAUGACUUCUACCCAAUCCCAACCAGGCAGUCAAACCUGAGACAUUCAGCUCGAAAGCUCUUGGUGUCUCCACCGUGGUAACCCUUCUCUCCAGCUGUCAUCAGUAGCAACCUCCACUCUACAAUGGAACACGUAGGAAAUUCCAGAUGCCCCCAGAUCAUGCUUGUCUCCACACACACAUCCCAAGCAAGCCACACUGCUGACUUAGUCAUAUAUAAAUAUAUAUAUAUAUAUAUUUAUAUAUUUAUAUAUAUUAUAUACAUAAGAUAUGUAUACAUAUAUGUGUUCAUAUAAGAUAUAUAUAAGAUAUAUACACACACACACACAUAUGUGUGUGUGUGUGUGUGUGUGUGUGUGUGUAUCUUGAUUGAAGAACUGCACCUUCUUUCUUCAUUUAACUGAUCUGAGAAAAAAUACCCUACAGGAUUUAAGACUAGAUCACCAGCUCUUCUCCCUCCUUAUUGGCGCUCUUCUCCUUCCUACAAUCCACCAGGCAGAAGGACUGAGAGUUCCCAUUCUAUCCUGCUCUGGCUGGUACUUCCCCUGUAUCAUAUCCUCCUUACUACCUGCUACAGGAGAAUUUAAGGCUUACCCUGCAUUGUGAAACAACCAGUGAUCUGAGUCUGCCAGACAUAAGUCUUAUAAAAAAUUACCCAGUCAUCUUGAAAAUAAAAUAGGGACAUGAGAGGAUUAAAACCUAUGUAAUGUUCUAAAAAUAAUACCACUGGAUCAUCAUUUUUCUUUAAAACCAUUUCUUUCAAUGUGCCAUUCAGAAUGGCCUGGACCCAUCCCCAACCAAUGGAUCUGAAAGCCUCAAACUUUUUGUGUCUCAUGGUGGAUGGAGAUUUCUGCACAAGGCAUUAGUUUGAUGCUCUAAUUUGAGAGCAGACAUAAGUUAAGAAGGCAGAUUUUUACACUUUUAUACUGUCACACUGCCAAAUCCAUAAGCCAACUUAUUGGAGGGUCUCACCCCCCUCCUAUCUUCUCUCUUGUCUCUGUUUCCCUCUCUCUUUCCCUUUCCUCUGCUUCUCCCUUAUUCAAUCCUCUAGCUGGCUGCCUCAUGCUUGUCCACAUAGAAAACUCUAUUCUAGAAAACCAUACUCAGGGAGCCUUCAACGAUAAUGCAUUACACGUGGUAAUACAAACAAUUGUUAGAACAAUUAUGCUCUUUAAAACAUGACUCCCAUUCAGUGCUUUGGUUUCCCUGCCUUUGUGCUUCAGGCUAAAUAUUACUCAGACUCCUGCAAGGCUGGGUGCUUUCUCACCAAUUAUCUGAAAGGCCCAGAGAACAGGACUUACAUCAAAGCCAGGCCUAAUGACAAAGGACACCUGGCCACUGCAAACACAGGCAUCUCUCAGCUCCUCGCUCCAUUUGGCAAAAAGCUAUUUCCAUCUCAGUCACGAUGUAACAAAGGACUAAUUGAUGGGAGCAUUUUUUUCCAUCUUUCAAAAAAUAAAUUGAGCCAACCCCACAAGCUCAUCUAGAGGAAUUAAUUAGGGAAUAGGAAAUCUCCAAAGCCAUCCUUAAAUUCAGAUUGAACAAAGCCCAGGGAACAGAUGGCUUUUCAUCUGAAUUCUUUAAAACCUUUAGCACUCUGCUAAUUCCCCUACAGGAAUGAAAAAAAUAAAUUGCUAAAUGAAUUUGAGCAAACCAUUUCACCAGGUGUUCAUUUCCCCUAAGGUUCCUUCUGCUCUAGGAAAAAAAAAAGAAAGAAAGAAAGAAACCCAACAGGUAUCCUCUCUACUGAUAUUAUUGUAAUUUCAUUUGUACAUCUGAGUCCUUCCCUAAGGGCCCAUUGUAAACUUCCCCAGCAUUUCUGACUACCAAGCUGGGGGACUGAUUCCCUUAAUUGAUGCAGCUGAUCAGAGACAACUGCUCAGAGCACAAGGAUGAUGUCAGCACACAGAAAACAAAGUCCAGAAUGAGGUCGCUGUUCAAGCAAAACUGAGAAAUAGGAAACGAUUUUGUUAUUCUGCUUCAGAUACCUGGAGAUUUCUGGAGUAAGGGCUGGUGAUGUUUGAUUGCAUUAUCCCAAUAGUUAAGAGAUUUGUUUCUCCUACACACAAGUGUGCCCAUGUAGAAAUACAGUGAGGGAGAAGGGCAUUGCCUCUCAUUUACAUGGUUCACAAGAAGCUGUCACACACAUGACCCUGGAAGGGAUGAAGUGCUCACAUGUACACAUUUUCUAUUCCAAGGAUAUCUAAAUAUCACUUCUCACGAGAAUCUAGUAUACAUUUUUAAAGCAGUUUUUACACAUUUAUUAUAAUUUAUUUUCAUUAACAUUUUAAACUGAAUAAUUAUAUUUAGAAUUCUGAUACUAUACUAGAAUAUCAGAACAUUCUGGUAUCCAUCCUUUUGUUGUUUUUUUUUUUAAUAAAAAUUUACGCUAAAUACAAUCUACCCACAGAAUGGACCAUUCCAGAGAAAAUGCAAUAGACCACUAAAACUCAAAGACGACGUAAUUCUGAUACAGGUAAGUUCUUUUUAUUUUUUUUAAAUGUUUAUUUUUGAGAGAUAGAGAUUGCAGGGAGGGGCAGAAACAGAGGGAGACAGAGAAUCCCAAGCAGCCUCUGCACUGUCAGCACAGAGCCUGAUGCCGGGACUAGAACUGUGAGAUCAUGACUGGAGCCGAAAUCGAGUUGGACACUUAACCAACUUAGCCACCCACGCACCCCAUAAGAUCUGAUACAUGGAUUAAAAUGUGCACUGAGAAAUCCUUGGAUGGGGGUCAUAAAAGGGAAGUGAACCCCUAAAAGGAAAAUAUCUUAAGCCUCUCAGCAAAAUGGAGGGGAUUUUUGUUUUCCAGAGCUCAACUCCAGCCCCAGGACACUCCACGGACUGACCCCAAAGGUUCAAGCCUUCACUGGCAGCAGCUUCUGGGUCACUUCCUUCUCACCUGCCUACCACAGCUGCUGUAACAGCUCCUAUCUCCACCCCAGUCUACUCUACUCUAGAAAGAGUUCUGAUGAUACAGAGCUCCACUUCCAUCAUGGUGGAUGUGAGAGAAUUUUAGUCCCAGGAGCCUUUUGUUCUAAGGGGAAGGGCUGAUAAGUGAAACUUCUGGAAGCAGAUGUUACGUUAAAAAUAAAGGAAUAGAUACAAUCACACACACACACACACACACACACACACACACACCCUCACACUUAUUCAUUCAAUAAAGAGUCAGUAAGCACUCUGCCAGGACUUAAGGGAAAAAAAUAGAGAGUAAAAUAGAAAUGAUCCUUGCCCUCUUAGAGUUCUACAUUCCUUUUGGGGAGGCAGACAGUGGAAUGUCCCCACAUGUAUAUAAUUACAAACUGUAAUAAACGCUAGGAAGAUUAAAGGAUAAGAAGUAUACAGAGGUAGAAACCAGUCUAGGCAGGGAUGCCAGUCUUUCCUGAACACUGAAUUUUUGAACUGAUACCAGAAAAAUGAACACACACAAACUGCUGUGAACAUUAUGAUAAAGGGUAAAAUGUGUCCCAGUGAGGGAAACAGCAUGAGCAAAGGCCCUGAGAGAGCAUGCGGCUGAGCAUAUUUGAGGGACUGAAACAGAUCCAGGGGCUGGCAGGAAGUCGGCAAAGGAUCAAGUGGCAUAGGAGGGUUUUAAGCCUGCUGGGCCUUGAGGGACAGUGGAAGUGUCUCGUUUGUUUGCGCCUCCCAGAAGCAGCCUCUGAGAUCAGGGCUCUGCAAGGAGGUGAGCCCAAAAAGCACCAGUAGGGGGGAUAUGACACAAAACAGGGAAGACAGCAGACAGAGGAUGGGGUAUCAAUUAAACUACCACUGUGGGCUAGUGGAGCUUCACCAGCUGCCAGGGAACUGGGAGACCAUGUAGAACACGUAUCUCAGGACCAUCGCACCCAAGGGGCAAAGGAGUUAGCGUCCUUACUAACCAAUUCUCAUUAACCCUGGAUGGAGGACGCUGGGCCGGCACCUCAGGACCUCAGUACCUGGUGUGGGGCCUGCUGCGUGAUAGCCCAACAGAGGAAGCCCUCAGGCAGGGGGAGGCUGGGCCGAGGCUAAAGGCACCUGGCAGGUCACUCAUGUUAUCAGCUACGUCACCACAGAUCUACACGUGUACACUCCUUCCUGCUUACAGAGCAGCAUUCGUCACCUCAGAAAGCAGCAGAAUUCAUGUCUCCACUUUUAAUAUUUGUAUGUCCACACUUCUGUAAGGCAACGCACCUUACAUGCAUGAGCAGUUAAGUCUCAAGUACAUCCAUCUGAUGCUCUCCAAAGUGCUCUGUGGUAGGUUAGGGUCACUGCUUACAUUUUACACACUAGAAAAUGGGGAAUCACUGAGACAGAGCAAACUGUUCAAGGCCAUUUAAAGGAGAAGUACCUUUGGGGCACCUGGGUAGCUCAGUUGGUUAAGCAUCUGACUUUGGCUAGGUCAUGAUCUCACGCCUCGUGAGUUCAAGCCCCACGUUGGGCUCUGUGCUGGUAGCUCAGGGACUGGAGCCUGCUUCAGAUUCUCUCUCUCUCUCUCUCUCUCUCUUUCUCUCUCUAUCUGCCCCUCCCCUGCCCACUCUGUCUCUCAAAAAUAAAUAAAAUAAAUAAAAUAAAUAAAGGAGAAGUACCUUCAAUUCAAAUUCAAGGCAACAGUUUCAACAGCCAUUUUUAUUCCUGCCACGCCAUAAUGACACAAGUGACAUAUGACAAGAUGAGGUCUACAAAUCCAAUUAAACCUAAUCAUACAAUGGACUAGGACCAGGGCAUAUAAGAACUACUGAAGAAAAAAAAGAGAGAGAGAGAGAGAGAGAGAUUCCUACAAUUUACCUUAGUGUAUCUAAUUCUAAAAUGUAACAGAACCAUUUUAUUAUCAAAUGAUAAUAAAAGGCAGCAAUACAGUAAAAAUAAAAGGUAUAUUUUCUCCAACAGAUCAAUAUUUAAUAUAUUUUAAUUGAUGAGCAAGAAGAUUAAUUAUAAAAAGGAUGAAAGAUAAAGAAGAGAGUCCAAUAUGAUUGACUUCAACACCAUCUGUAAAUGGAGAACAAUUAGGUAAGCCAACUCUCUUAAGCGUGAAGAUAAAUUAUCACCGGGAAGAUAUUAUUAUACUCCUUUUAAACUUAACUUCUAGUUCUUAGGCUUUACAGGUAAGAAUGAAUGAAACUGAAUGCAGGGAGAAGACUGCCUUUCUGAAAUUCUAUCCCUGCAUGGAAAAGUGAGACAGUUCCCCUCAUAUCAAUUUCUGAAACAUACUUUUGGGCAGCAGAAAAUCAUUUUUCAUAUGCAAGUAUGAGAGGUCAAAUGUCAGCUUCAGGGCAUAGGUUGUGUUUUAUAGACAUGUGUUUUAAUGUGAUUCUCAUACUUUGGUUUAUGAUAUCCCUUUUCAAAGUGAAUAUUUCCACUCUGUUGGCCAGGGCGCCAGUCUUACUGCUGAUUAUGUGUCAAGUCUUGAACAUCAUCCCACAUUGUCUGAAAAAUGAGCCCCACCAUGGCUUUGCACUAUGCAAUGAGAUGGGAACGUAAAGGAUAACCUGGUGGGAGAACGUCCACUAUUAAAAAAAAGACAGAGAGAGAAAAUCUGUAAGUAAGAAAGCAGAUUUUUCAGAGUACCUAUUUUCUGGGGGAAUUUCUGCUGACCACACAGCCCAGAUCUGUAGUUCCCAACACGCCUGACUCCAUUUCCUGCAGUGCACCAUUUCUACGUAAUUGUUGUCCCAUAAGGAUGGGAAGUAUGUAUUUUUUUUCUCAAGAUGACAAAAUAUUGCUUUCAAAGGAGACAUUGCAAUAAUAAGAAUUGUUGCAGGUUCUUACAGGGGAAAUGUCUGGGGUUGAGGCGGACAUUCUUUAGCAUUUUUUAUUUAUAUUCACUCUUAGUUUUGAAGCACGAUCUAUUUUCAAUAUCCUCUGCAUCUGGCCAUUAAAGCUAAUGUCAGUGUGGUGGGAGAAAUCUUGUAUUAUUGAUAAAUGCCAAAAGCCUCUCUUCCCAACUCAGGAACAGCUUACACCAGCUUUAGAAAUUCUAGUUCCUUUUCAAGUAGUUUUACUCCAAUUUCACAGAAAGAUCAUACAUGUAAUGACAUUCCCAAUAAUAAUGCAAUCUAAAUUUCUCUAACGAACCCAGAUUCAAAUUUUUAGAACUUAUGUAUACUGGACCUGUGAGAAACUCUGAAGAAUACCAUCUUGGUACUUGUAGAACACUUAACCCAAAUCAUCAACAGCUUAUUUAUUUAUCUUUUCAAAUAUAAAAUGGUUCCUUUUAGUGGUUUCUUUCCUACUGUGCCUUUGACAAUUAGGUUCUUAUCCUACAAGAUAUUAAAAGUUUCUUUAAAGAUGUUAAGUCCUAAAGCUUUGACUUCACCCACAGUGGAGGAUUCCCUAAGAGGUCCUGAGUAGCUGUCUUCUCUCCACACCCAUGUCUAUGUCAUGUGUUAUAAAGGUGGACAUAACACAUAGAAAUUCAUAGUGCUAAAAAAAACAAUGAUGGAUACCUCCUUUUUGAAAAGAAAUAACAGUGCCUGCUGAUUUUUAAAUAUCUUUUUACUAUUUUGUGGGAAGAUCUCAAAAAAAACCAAUUACAGUUCUAGAUGCUUUUGGAUAUUGUUAGGGUUUUGCCAUUAGCCACAAACCACAUUAAAAAAAAAAAUUCUUGAGACUUUUACUGUCGUUGGUUUGGUGAGACUUUUAGCAAACAAAUUGUUUCAGAAUGCUGACGUCAAUACAGUAUGGUAUGCUAGGUGAUGAGAUACUUCUCUUAUAAAGAGGGCCCAACAUAUUAAUCACUCUCCUGAGUCAAUAAACAUUUUUACUGUUCUUAGUAACAAAAAGACAUGUGAGAAUUUUUUUAAAUCAGGAUUUUCAAUAUGACUAUUGACAUUAAUAUUUCUGACUUACCAAAGACUUAAGAAGAUAUAAAAUAUUUUGGUCUUAGAAGAUAUAAAACUCAGGCCUCUCUAAAUAAAUUUAAAUCAUUUAAAGCACUGUUCACUGAGCCCAUAGUUAUAUAUGAUACUUAGAACUUUGUUUACAAAUCUCUUAUUUAAUUCUAAACUCUACCUUUUCAUAAAUGUGUCAUUACUUCCAUUUUACAAAUAAAGAUACUAAAUGCCAGAUAAGGGUGCUAUGUGUUAGAGUAGGGGGUUUCUACAUUUAUUGGAAUCACCUGGAUGGCUCCAACUACUGAUGCUUCCAUCCCAAGCCCAGAGAUUGUAGUUUAGUUGCUCUAGAGUGUGACCUAGGCUUUGUAAUUUUUAAGAGACCCUUACGUGCUUCAAAUAUGAAGAAAGGUUUGGAAACUCCUUGGUGACAAAAUAGAACCACUUAUUCUUUUAUGUCAGGGUUCUUGGAAGUUAUUAAUUUUCUAUAUUACAUUGCAUGUAGCCUGGGGUAUUUAAUCAGAUAAUUCUAAAAACCGAAAAUAUGUGACUAAUAUUCUCAAUGCCAUUCUUUCAUAAGAGAGAUUUUCUUUCUGGGUUGGUGAUCAACUCUAAUAUACAGUGUUAUCACAUGUGAUAUAUAAUAUAUAUGUGAUAAUAAUAUUUAAAUUUAAAAUUAAUGAGUGUAGUUCCUAUAUGCCAGGUUUGUUUCACAAGUACUGUUGCAUGUGUUUUUCAUAGUGCUGUAAGAAUCUUUUACACUUUUAGAAGAGAGGAAUCUGGGACACAGAAUAGUGAUAUAGCUUGCUGGAGGUUCCAUAGCCAAUAAAUGGCAAAGACAAGAUUCAGACCCAGACCUGCCAGAACCCAGGGCUUAUGCUCUUGAUCACCACAGCAUCUAAUAUGGCCUCAACAUUCGUGGAUGAUAAUAAUGACACAGUUUCAACUAAGGGUGAGAUGCAUAGCUAACAGUCCAUUAUUCUUGUCAAAUUUAUCCUUGAAACUAUUUUGUCUUAAGUUUCUUUGUUGAGGCCCCCGGCUUUCCUUCAUUCUAUCUCAAAAACCAUACUGGAUGCCUGAUCCUACCUCUUCCUUUCUCAAGAUACAUUAUGUCUCCACUGAGCAUCCUUCAUUCAACAAUGAAAGAAAAAUGUAACCUGUUUAUUGCUAUUGUUAUUUGGGAUUUGUCACAUGCAGCUGAAGUAUUUUGAAUUAUGCACAGAGAUGGGAGUAGAAUAUACACAAGGGUCUAUCAAUAGAAAGCACAAAAACUUCACAAACAAUUUUGGGAACUACACCCACAGGUACAGAGUAGCUAAGGAGAAGAGCAGAAGGCAUCUCAUGAACUUCUCAACUACACACUGGAUUCCUAGAGUGUUUCCACUAUUUCUCAGGGCCCAUUAAAUCCCAGUUGUUGUUGUUGUUGUUUUUUUAACAUUUAUUUAUUUUUGAGACAGAGAGAGACAGAGCAUGAAUGGGGGAGGGGCAGAAAGCGAGGGAGACACAGAAUCAGAAGCAGGCUCCAGGCUCUGAGCCAUCAUCCCAGAGCCCGAUGCGGGGCUUGAACUCACGGACUGCGAGAUCGUGACCUGAGCCGAAGUCGAACGCUCAACGAACUGAGCCACCCAGGCGCCCCUAAAUCCCAGUUUUAAAAGAAACCAUAUAGGCACCUGGUUGGCUCAGUUAAAACAUAUGACUCUUGGUCUUGGAUCAGGUCAUGAUCUCAUGGUUGGUGGGAUCGAGUCCUGCAUCAAGCUCUGUGCUGGCAGCACCAAGGGUGCUUGGGCUUCUCUCUCUCCCUCUCUCUCUGCCCCUCCCCUGCUCAUGUGCGCACAGUUGCUCUCUCUCAGAAUAAAUAAGUAAACCUUACAAAAAAGAAACUGUAAAAAAGAAACAUUUUUUCCUCUUUGGGGAUUGUUUGCUUGUUUUAAUGACUCAAAUGACAUCUAACAGAAUGCAUUUCAAAUCACAUACUGUAUUAUCAUAGACUAUAAUUGUGUGUGUGUGUGUGUGUGUGUGUUGAAAAUUCAAUGAAAUAUGAAAAAUACAGCAAUUCAAUAUAAAGGACUCUUUUAAGGCAUGAGAACCUGUGAUGUCCAUGGAAUAACUUUUUCUUUAAGAAUUCUCUAAUCCCUAUUCCUAAUACAAUCUGAAAGGACAUAACAUUCAUGUAAAGGAAAGCCUGCUAUUAGGAAUUAUUUUUGCAGGUGAAAAAUAAUUAUCAGCAAAUAGUAAAAGUCAAUAAAAUAAAUGGUAUACUAUAGUCCACAGAAAGCUAAAAGCAACAUUUAGAAGAUGGAUUAUAGAAAUUCAGCCCAAAUUCAUAGAUUAAAGGAUAUGAGGAGAAAGACAAUGAUCAAGUACAUGAGAAGCAAGGCAUAUAGAACCAGGAGAUUGAAAAAGUAUGAAUUAGAAUGCUAUAAAGCAAGGAGAUGCAAUAAUCAAAGUAAUCUGAAAAGUUUCUGAGCUAAAGAAAGUUUUGAACAUUUAGUAUAAGGGUCUAAGAAUACUAGAUAUUAAUAAAGAUCAAUCUGCAAUUAAACAAUAAUGAUAUAUUUUGUAUUUUUCUGGGUAUAAAUACAUAUUCUCAAAGCUUCCAGGCAGAAGAGAGUAAAGUAAGAGCUAUGAAGAUACCAUCAGACUUUUCUCAGUGGUGUAUGAAAUAUGGCAAUGGAAAGGUGUUUUCAAGGUUUUAGGGGGAAUGUUUAUGACUCCAAAAUUCCAAUCUCAUCCAAGUCCACAUUCAUUAGUGAGGACAGAAGGACCUUCUCAGACAUGAAGUGACUCAGGAAAUAUACUACUUAGUUAUCUGUCUUGAAAAAAAUUACUUAAGGAAGUAUUUCACCCAACCAAGAAAUGAAUCAAAACCAAGAAAUUAACUCGAUUUGAAGGCAUGUGUGGCUCAAAAGAAAAGGCAGUGAGUAAUGAACUUAACACAAGGUUGGUGUCUAAGUAACUGUUAUAAACACAGUUAUGAAUCUUGACAAAUGUCAAAAGUAAUUCUUGGGUGGAUAAAAAAAUACCGUUUUUUUUUUUUUUUAAAUACUGAAAGUAUCUAGUUUUAUCUCAAUAGAAACAGGGCAGUAGCAGGACUUAAGAAAAGGAGAGAAAUAAAGGUAUUCUAAACUUCUCUUAUUCAGAUACAGCAAAUCAGUUCUGUUUUAUUAACAAUGUCUAUUUAUUUAUUUAUUCAUUUGUCUUUUGUGUGCAAGUACCUGGCUCUAUGCUAGUGUGCAGAGAUCAAUGAUCAGAUCUGGGUCCCUCCUUCCCAGUGUGUAUACUCUAAUCAACAUAGAUCAUUUUUUUUUUAAGUUCAUUUAUUUAUUUUGAGAGAGAGGCAGAGAGAAAGGGAAAGAGAAAAUCCCAAUCAGGCUCCAUGCUGAGAGCACGGAGCUGGAUGCAGAGCUUGAACCCAUGAACCAUGAGAUCAUGACCUACGCCAAAACCAAGAGUCGGACGCUUAACCGACUGACUGAGUCACCCAGGUGCCCCAACAAAUAGAUAAUUUUUAAUAUGAAAACAACCAAAGGGACUAAAAAUAACACAUAUUACUUAAUACCACUAUAUGAAGAAAAAAGAGAAUUUAAGCAAUAUUUCAAAAUGAACAAAAAUAUUUCAGUAUGAACAAAAGACACUGAUAAAAUUUAAUGACACAAUUUUUUUUUAAUAGAGGGACAAACAAUAGGGAUAUUGACCUGAAUAUAAGAAGUAGAUUUUUAGGUAAAACUAGUAAGUUUUAAAAUCAGGGAUAUUUUAUGUUGAUAAAGAUGUAGUUCACAGUGAAGUUAGUUGUCUUGAACUUGUAAGCAUGAAAUAACAUUCCAAACAUGUAAAAUAUAAAUGUUUAGACUUAUGUAAUGAAAAAUAAAAUUAUGAUUCAGAUAUAAUUGUAAUUACUUAACAUAUCUUCAUAGAUAAGGAAGACAUAAACUAUAUGGUAAAACAAAUAAAUUUAAUAAUUUGAAGAUUAAGCUAAUUUAAUAAAUACAUACACACACUAUGCACAAUUUCAUGAAAAAAAUUCAACUGUAGUUAAACCAUUCUCAGUAUAUUUGAAAGGGCAUAACUUGGGGUACCUGGAUAGCUCAGUCAUUUGAGCAUCUGACUCGCUCAGGUCAUGAUCUUGUGGUUUAAGGGAUGGAGUCCCACCUUGGGAUGCUGUUAGCAUGGAGCCACUUGGGAUUCUCUCUCUCCCUCCCGUACUCCCACUGUGUCUCAAAAUAAACUUUUUAAAAAAAUGUAUUAAAAAAAAAGAGGAACUUCCUCAGGCUACAUACUUUGAUCACACUGAAAUAAAACUAGAACUUCAAACCAAAGAAACCAUAUUUAAGAGUUAAACCUUUGGAAAUUGGAAAAAAAAUCUCAUAAGUAACUAUUUGACAGGGAUAAUGCUACCCAUUAAGUUGUAUCUAUAAAAAUUUAUGAAAAUUUCCUAAACCUAUACUCAGGGAAAUAGUAAUUUCCAUGAUAACCAAUAUUAAAUAAUCUAAGCAUUCAAUUCAAAAACCUAGAAAAAAUCCAAAUUUGACAUUUCUAUGAUCUGGACAAAUAAUAAACAUUUUUUUUUUUUUUUUGAGAGAGUGAUAGAGAGCAAGCAGGGGAGGGGCAGAAAGAGAGACAAAGGCUGCACUGUUAGGGCAGAACCCAAUGCAGGGCUCGAACUCACAAACCAGGAGGUAAUGACCUGAGCCAAAAUUGAGUUGGAUGCUUAAUCGACUGAACCACCCAGAAGGCCCAUAAAUGACAUAUAUUUUUAAAUAGUAUAACUUUAGCCUUUAUAGCCCAUCAAAGAACUGUCCAUUUCAAAAGUGUCUCUUAUAAUACUAAAAAAGAAAAUGUGGUCCUUUCUUAGUUCAGUUCCAAGGAAAUAUUUUUUCUUUUCCUCAGAUUUAUAGGUUUAUAAUUUUUAAAUCAAACAUGGGCUCAGUUGACAGCUUACUUUAGUAAAUUUCUCAUUAUCCUCAAGUUUAUCAUCUUAUUUUCACUAUGUUUAAUUUUUAAACCAACCCCAAGUGGAGUUACUGGCAAGACAGCACUGCACUAGUAAAUGUUUAACAACCAGUUCACUGUAGGGGAGUGCAGGGAGGUGAUGAUUUACAACAUUUGCUACUUUCUAUGGUGUAAAAAGUCUUACCAUAGCCAAUUUCAAGCUAUCACCUUAGGGUCACUGAAUGUGAAGUUGGUUAAAGGUGCACAGAAUCAGGUCUCAUUAUCCAGUGCAUGUUGGGUCCUAUCACACUGUUAUUUAGAUGCCAUUAAUGAGUCUAUGAACACCUUAUUAUGAACAGAUGGGUGGAUGAAUGGAUGGAUGGGUGGGUGGAUGGGUGAUAGAUGGAUACAUGGAUGGGUAGGUAGAAAGGGCAUAUAAAAUUUUUACAUGAUAGAGAUAUAUUAGCCAGUGUAUUUUUUGUUUAUUUAUUUAAUUCUUCAGCUCUAUUUUUUAAAUGGAUAGGAAACAAGAAUGGGGUGGGCAUAUCGGUCUUUCAGGGCCAUUUCUGAAUGCAGAAAUGCAGUAACUUGGAAAACUUUAAACAACCAAUGGUGACCAUGAAAAUAGUAGUAUCAGAAAACCCAGAAUAGGAAUUUUGUUAAUACCAGCUAUGGAUUUCAAAUGGAAAUGGAAAUUUCUCUUAACAAUACUCAUUAGUAUUCUGCCCAUUUCUUCAGCAGCCUCAACUCAUUGCGCUUUCACAUUUCUCAAUUAACAUUUAUGUGCUUGGGUGAUCUUAGCUAUUAAAUGAGAUGGUUACAGUUGAUAAACCAAAGUUCUAAAAUGUUAUGGUUCUAUGAAGUGAAGCAAUUUCCUCAUCAUCUCACUCUCUCCUUUCACUCAUUUAAGGAUAAGAAAGUAAUCAGCAUGGCUUCGGUGGCUCAGUCAGUUAAGUGUUCAACUCUUGAUUUUGGCUCAGGUCAUGAUCUCAUGAUUUGUGGAAGCCCUCAGCAUGGAGCCUUCUUGGGAUUCUCUCUCUCCUUCUCUCUCUCUGCCCUCCCUUGCUCACUUGAACUCUUUCAAAAUUAAUAAAUUUUUUAAAAUAUAGGAAAGUAAUGAUUUUAAUCCUGAUACCAUUUUUUAAGUACUAGCCUUUGAAAUUUAAAAUUUUAGUUAUGUGGUAAUAUUUUGCAUUUUGUCAUCAUUAUAUAUUUACAAGAAGACGGAGGAUUUGGAAAAGAUUACCUUGCCUAGUUGAAUGAUGGUGUUCCUGGACUCAAAACUGGGAGAUGAUUUCUUUAGUCCGGUAAAGAAGCUUCAUAAAUGCUUUUGAAGAGAUGUUAUUACUAAAGAAUAUUAAUUAGCCUUUAUGCUAACUGUAUUAAAGAUAUGUGUGUGUGUGUGUGUGUGUGUGUAUAUAUAUAUAUAUAUAUAUAUAUAUCUGAGCUCAAUUUUGUGUAUGCAUACAAACACACACACACACACACAUAUAUGUAUGUAUAUAUAUCAAUCCUAUUGCAACACAAGCAUUACAAGCUACAAUAUUUAUUUCAUUUGUCAAGUCCUAGUCCUGGCUUGAAAUUUUAAAAGAGGAAAACACAUUGAGAUGUUUCAUACUACUAAAAUUUUUAAGUUCAACUAGGUAACAGAAGUUCUCUUUGACUGUAAUUAUGGCUCUUGGUGAGGAACAGGAAUAAUCAUUUUGUCUAAUUCCUGUUAACUACACUUGCUUCUCUUAGAGUUUUUCCCUCCAGAUUUCCUCUUACCACUCUUAAGAUAGCACCAAAAAGUAAAGAGAAGACAUUCUACCACCUGAAAGACAAAAUCUCAAAAGUGGCGAAGUCCACUACGUAUUUUUAAUUACAUCUCCAGCAUCUAAAUGGUUAAUAUUCUGCCUGCUUUACAAGCCACAUGCAAAUCUUCCAAUUGUAUAAAGGAUUUAUGGCAACUGCACUGUAUCUGCAAAGAAAUGGAAGAGGUAGUAAAACAGCUGCUUUGUCAUCAAAAUAGAUAAACACACACAUCACAGCAAAUCUUUGUGGUGUCCUACACUACAACCCUUCUACCAGACUGAAGUCAUCUGUUGUGUGGGAUAAUUACACGUCCUUUCCACCUCCAGCACGUGAGCUGUACCUGUCUGCUUUUCUGCCUUGAAACUUUCUCCAAAGCUAUGGUAGGCUGCUCACUCUUUGCAGCCUCAGACAUUUAAGGAAGUUAACACCCAUGGGAACAACCCUCAACCGCUGGUCCCUGACUUCACUGGGUUAACAGUUCACCUCCCUCUCCCUCUCACCUGAUAAAACAGCCUGAGGAAUGUUUUUUCACAAUUCCUCAGCAAGUCCCAGAUGGAUUGAUCCUCAGUUGCCCACAGUGGCAACCUGCUGAACAGUGCACCUCUAUAUCCCCGAUGCCCCCUCCAUCUUACUCUCUUCGCCCCUUCACUUCUCUUUCCCAGACCAUCUCAAACGACCGGCACCCAAGUUCUCCCAUCAGGUUCUACCUUUGCAGGAGCUCAAAGACACACAGUAGAUCGAUAGAUAUCAUGUUUUUCUAAUGUUUUAUUGUUAUAAUUUUCAAACACAAAAUUACAUAGAAUUAUAAAAUAAAUGCCCACUUAGUCAUCACCAAGAUUGAGCAAAGUUCUGCCAUGCAUGUUUCAUGGAGCCAUCUUCUGAGGAUAUUCUCGAUAAGAUUUAGUCAGAAAGAUAAAAGUAUCAGAGUACCUCAACCUCAAUCUUGUUCCAGUUCUAAGGAGGAAGUACUUCUCAUUACAUAGAAUUUAAUUACCCAAUGAAUAUGAGAUGUUUUAAGAAGCAUUUAAUAACCACUAACUACCUAUUAUUAAAAUCUGCUGGGCUGAAGCAACAGAUGUGGUAAACAGAUCUCUUGACAAAAAGUCCCAAAUCCUUGAGGUAAUAUCUGUAAUUCAGCAAAUGUGUAUUGAGCCCUUACUUGGUCUGGCUACUGGAGAUCCCGUCAAAUAAAUCCUGAACUCUGGCCCAUGAAGCCCACAAGAGAAAACCAGAUGAACAAUAACCAGUUUAGCAAAUGAAUGAACAAGAUUAUUACAAAUUUUAAUUAGUGCUGAUAAAGAAAGAGACAGUCCCUUGUAGAGGGUCUUUGAGGAGAAGGGAGGGAUGAGGGCCACUGAGGAGGUCAAGUUUGGGCUGAGGCUUGAAGGCUAAGAGUGAGGCAACUUGAGAAAACAGCCAGUGUGGCCUUGGUGCAGUGGACUCCUAUCUGAGGCAAGGGUGGAGGGAGUGUGGCAGGGCUUAGAACAUGCAGAGCCUUGCAGAUGAAGAUAAUGAAUUAGGAUGUUAUUCUUAAAGCAAUGUGAUAUUCCUGAAAGACUUAAAAUAGCAGAUAUGUGAGAUGGCUCCCAUUUUUGAAAGAUUGCCUUGACUGUUAAGUGUGAAACGACUUGUGGUUUUACACCAACUCAUGAACAACUAGGCCUUGAGGACAAGCACAAGUAAGCAGUUCCAUAGCCUUUCCCUUUAUAAAACAUGGCUUUAAGAACCCACUGCCACUCUCUGAACUCAGUCCCUCAUUUCCUUUUUCCUAGAUAAUUUCCAGAAUUAUCUGGAAUCUUUUGUCUGAAUCCCUCUGUCCAAAUUAUCUUCCUGCAGCUGAUUUCUUAACAUAACAUCCCUCUGCUAAAAGGCGUCGAUGAUUUUCCCCUAUACAAAAUGAGUUACAGAUUCUUUAGUUUCUUCUUGUAAUGUAACUUCCCAGGUUUUAUCUCCAGCUAUUCCAUCAUGUUUCUUUUUAAAAAUUUUUUUUCUUUGAUGUUUAUUUAUUUUUGAGACAGAGAGAAACAGAGCAUGAAUGGGAGAGGGGCAAAGAGGGGAAGACACAGAAUCUGAAGCAGGCUCCAGGCUCCGAGCUGUCAGCACAGAGCCUGACGCGGGGCUCAAACUCACGGACCACGAGAUCAUGACCUGAGCCAAAGUCAGAUGCUUAACCAACUGAGCCACCCAGGUGCCCCUGUCAUGUUUCUUUCUUAUACACUACCCAAGUUGGAUCACUUACUAAUAUUCAAAUGGGUAUACUUUAUAUAAAUAUAUAUAACAUACAAAAUAUGUAAGUAUAUAAUAUAUAGAAUAUAUAAAUAGAUAUUAUAAUAGGAAUAUGAACCAGGAAAGAGAGAAUAGAAACCAUAUUGCAAAUAAUUAACAAAAACAGCUUAAAAGAGUGAAAAAAUAAGAAGGAAGUAAUCCGAAUAUCAGUAUAAAAACUGGUAACAUGACAAGUUAUCUUUGCUUCUCUGUCAACUCCAUAUUCUAAGCACUAGCAUUACCUGGGAGACUAUAUGUAAUGUAAAACAUAGCCCAAAUGUGAUCACUCCCACCACUGCCGCUUUGGCCCACAGCCUGCCUGGCUGCAAUAUUAGCUGAGCUUAGUUUCUCUCCUUCUAAACUUGCAAAUUUCCUUUCUAUUCUCCACAUGGUAGUUAGAAUAACCUCAUGCAACCUAUACCAGAUGCAAUUUUUCCUCUGGUUGAGACAGAUCAUAUUCAGACUUAAAUACUUACUCUGCUCUGGAAUGACCUGUUUCUUUCACUAUCUUUCUGACCUCAUCUGCAACCCUUAUCUCCCUUUCUCUUUGCAAUUCAAUCACAUGGGUUUCUUCAUUAUUCCUUGAAUGGACCAAGACUGCCCCUACCUUUCCAUCUUUGUAACUAUCAGUCCCUCUUGAUAUAUUCUUCUUCCAAGUACCUGUGGAGCUACCUUAUUUUAAUCCAGGUUUGCUGAGAUGUCCCCUUAUCAGACAAUCCUUCACGGACUCCACUAUCAAAAACAUCCCAAUCACUCUCUAUUCCCUUAUCCAGCUUUAUUUUCUUUAAAGGACAUUCUAGCUGAUAUAGGGUAUGUGGAUUGGUUCAUUAUUUGCCUGUUCUCUUUUCUCAAUAAGAAUGCAAGCUCAUUGACAGUCAGAACUUCAUCUGUUUCACUCCUGUAUCCCCAAAACCUGGUACCCUAACUAAAGUGGGUACUCAGUACAUGUUUCCUUAGUGAAUGAAUAAAGAAAUAAGCAAGCGAUAUAUUCACAUAGUGGAAAGCUAUACAGCAGUUAACAUUAAUAAACUUGGUAAGUACUAUCAACAUGAAAAAUGUUUCAAACCAAAAUGUUGAGUUCAAAAAGCAAGUUGAUGGGACACCUGAAUGGCUCAGUCAGUUAAGUGUCAGACUCUUGAUUUCAGCUCAGGUCAUGAUCUCACCAUGCCUGACAUUGAGUCCCACAUUAGGCUCCGUGCUGAUAGCAUAGAGCCUGCUUGGGAUUCUCUCUCUCCUCUCUCUCUGCCCCUCCCUCCUUCUCUCCCUCUCUAAAUAAAUAGACAUUUUUUUUAAAAAAAGCAAGUUGAAGAAAGUUACAUUGAAGACAUUUAAAUCAAAGUGGCCUAUUCUGGAAAAUCAGAAUUACCUCCUCUAGCAAAACAUCAUAAGUUACAAAUUAUAUAUUAAGUAUUCUUAUUUUUAAGCUGAGUCCCAUAGUGUUUCAUUGCUUGCUCUAAAUCACAGAUCAGUGAGUAGUGGAAUGGGGCAGGAGGGGACAAUCACCAAUUCACUGGUCUCUUCUUCCUUCCAGCACCCUUGAAUGUGCUAAGAAUAACCUCAAUCAUGACACAACUCAAAUGUGAGAUUCCUGCAGGCUCCUCAAUGAGAGCAGGGCCACCACUAUUUCUUCUUUUCUUCUUUCUCACCAUUACCAUAAGUGCAGUGGGUAUGAGUAUCACUCCAAAAAUGUGAGUGCAGAAAGUGAAACAUUUAUUUGUUUUCUUUAUAUCUCACAGUAUACCCCAUGCUGCCUAGAUGGUGAAAAAAAUCACUCGGUUCUCCCCAGUGUCCACCAUCCCCUCCCAACAAUGGUUUAUGAAGGGCUCAGGGAUGGUACAUAGAGCAGAAUAUUCACUUGGACCCCUCAGUUCAUCCCUUGGGCACACAAAUCACUAUGGAAUGGCUUACUGUCCAGGCUUGCCUAUUCCUUUCAGCCCCCAAUUAAGGACCAUGGUUGAACAGCACACCAUCUCUAUAUUCUGGGGAGCCUUCAAAUAACUCAAGUCCUCCACAUGGGCUUCUGUGACAGCUAUUCUACCAUUUUCCACGGGUUCCCAUCACUCACAAAUCCACCAUAUUAUUAGUGUUGUCUUGGGGAGCCUCUUCUCUUCUUGUCCCACCUUGUUCUAUCACCUUCCACUCCUAUCAUGCUGUCAGUGACCCUGGGCUAAUGGGAAAAAAGACUGGUUGGAAUGGAAAGGAUUUGUGGGAAGGUAAAUGGAGGGAAGAUCUUGAGUGCAAUGGUACAUGAAGCUUACAUUAACCACACAAACAAAUGCCAAGCUACAGCUAUGAGGGAAGCUAGGAAGGAACAGUUCAUGACGCUAUGGGGGAGUUUGAGAAGACUUCCUGAAAGACUGCCAGUGAACCUGAAGUAUGAAUAAGGGUUAAGAAACCCAAGAUGAGGCCAGCAAGCAUCCCAGGGGAAGAACAAAUCCUGUGCUAUGGAACUAAAGGGAAGGGACACGGUACACACGAGCUCCUGUUAUAUAGUAAGUGCUCAGUAAAUGGACAUUGUAGUAACAGAAUAAUUAUUAUUCACAGUGUUUGCCCAAAUAAGGCAUUUUUUCCCAACUCAGAACAGAGACAGUUGGAAAAGUUAAUCACAAAAAGGAAUGACCAUAUGAGAAAGAGCAUCAAACACAGGAAGCCAAAAGAGAAAGGACCAAAGCCACAAAUGUAAGCCUGACAUGUUUCACCUGCACUAAGGUUGGCAAAGCGCAGCAUUCAGGAGCAGUCAGAUCAUAAGCAAAAAAAAAAAAAAAAAAGUGUUCUCUCUGGAAAGGCUAUUUGUGAAGAAACACUAGAGGGAAAAAAAGGGGGCCCACACAAUAAGCUGCAUUCUCAUAUAUUUAGGAUACCACUACCAUCUCACCCCAAAUCUUGGACCUUCCUGAAAGAAGCAGGAUGGACACCGCCGUGUUUCCUCAGUUCCUCAAGUGGGAGUUAAAUCAAACGAAUACUGUUAUCUUAUUUUUGUUGUUGUUGUUGUUGUUCAAUUAGUGUAGAAGUGGUUCCUGACCAGUCUCUACUCAGUGAUAGACAAAGCUGUGAAAUUUUAAUUCUCGAAUAAAUGCUAUCAACUUCCCCCCUUCCAUCCCCCAAUAGCCACAGCUACCACACCAUGAGAAAAUAGAAAACUUAAAAUCACUAAUCAAUGAGGCCUCAAUCCAUUCAAACAGAAAACAGUUCACUGUAAUCUGUAGCAUAAUCUGGUUAUUAAAACUUCAGUCUCGAAAGAUGGCGGCGUAGGAGGACACUGGGCUCACCGCGCGUCCUGCUGAUCACUUAGAUUCCACCUACAACUGCCUAAAUAACCCAGAAAACCGCCAGAGGAUUAGCAGAACGGAGUCACCGGACCCAAGUGCAGACGAGAGGCCCACGGAAGAGGGUAGGAAGGGCGGCGAGGCGGUGCGCGCUCCACGGACUGGCGGGAGGGAGCUGGGGCGGAGGGGCGGCUCGCCAGCCAAGCAGAGCCCCCGAGUCCGGCUUGCAAAAGCGGAGGNCGUGGAUGGAACUGGAGAGUGUAAUGCUAAGUGAAAUAAGCCAUACAGAGAAAGACAGAUACCAUAUGGUUUCACUCUUAUGUGGAUCCUGAGAAACUUAACAGGAACCCAUGGGGGAGGGGAAGGAAAAAAAAAAAAAAAGAGGUUAGAGUGGGAGAGAGCCAAAGCAUAAGAGACAGUUAAAAACUGAGAACAAACUGAGGGUUGAUGGGGGGUGGGAGGGAGGGGAGGGUGGGUGAUGGGUAUUGAGGAGGGCACCUUUUGGGAUGAGCACUGGGUGUUGUAUGGAAACCAAUUUGUCAAUAAAUUUCAUAAAAAAAAAAAAAAAAACUUCAGUCUCCUUUAAAUGGGUAUUUGGUAGCAUUCAGGUCCCCAGUUUCUCUUCUGCUUGAAACUUGGGCAGAAUGGGCCUGAUUUCUCCAUUCUGCCUUCUCUCACUCCCUCCCAUUCCCUUUCCCCUAACCACAGCUCCUGCUCACCCUCAAGGCAGUAUAGCUUGCAACAGAGGGAAAGAGAAACUUUUAAAGGUAAAUAUGGAGACUCUUUCAUCUGUGAUUGGGCCCCUGCUUUCUGGCUAGCACCACUGAAAUCUGUGUUUAGUAGAACUUCAGAAUGUACAUUUUGAAAUUUCUCAAGUAACUGAAGUAGGUGACAAUCCAAACAUGUAAACACUUAGAAAUGGCAGUUAUCAUUUUGAAACAGUGUUCCUUUUGUUUCAGCAAUUUACAAUGAAUUAGAUCAAUUUCGCUAUGAGACUACAACUUGCCUGCCAGUGGCCUCCAGACAUCCUUCAAUGCUGCCUCAAAAUAAAACCAGACCUCAGCCCCAGGAAAAGAUCAACAUUUCUACAGGACCCAGCAUGGUGUGUAUUUGCUCAGGAUUUCUGUCUUCUUAAUUAAAUAUUUUUCAGUCCCUGUCUCAGAAACUGGAAAACACAAUUGAAAUGCUACAAGAUACAUAGUAUUCUAAGCUUGUAUGUGAAAUGGUAGCUAGAGGCCAUGAAAUAACACCACAGCUAUUACAGAUAAUUAUCAAGGAUAUUCUGUGAGAACAUAAAC
RNAcentral lists this long non-coding RNA (55277 nucleotides) under Lynx pardinus (Iberian lynx). Lineage: Eukaryota; Metazoa; Chordata; Mammalia; Carnivora; Felidae. The record is from RNAcentral.